UAAGCCUCCCCUGCUGUUUUCUUUUCUAUCCUCUGUUUUUGCUCAGCCGAAAAACCCCUCUCGGCCUUUCUCUUCUGUUUUCGGUCCCUCUCAAAGCUGUCCCGGUUAAUCCUUCUUGCGUUUUUUCGAUUCCUCUGUUCUCCGCCGAAAACCUUCCCCAUUUUCUUGCUCUCUAUUCUUUCUCUUUUCCUCUUUUCCCGCUGCUCUGUUUUUUUCUUGUUUUUUCUUGGCUCUGCAGCCGCUUGCGGCUCUCUAUUUUUUUUCUGUUCUGCUUCCCGAAGCCUUUACUUUUUUUCUGUUUUUUUUUUCAUUUUCCUGUUUUUUCCGUAACCUCCCUAGCCGGCCAUCCCCAAUCCUUUUCCCCUUUUUUUUUUUUUUUUAAUUCCUUUUUUCUAAGUGACUAAGCACUUUGCCACCUUGUGAUGUGUUGUUAAAAAACUAAAAGUGACAUUUGCCUCCAUGCAUGCCUAUCCACUUGUCAUUUUUUCCUUUUUUUCCUUUUUCCUCUUUUCCCUUUUUCCUUUUGUUUUUCCAUUUUCAUCAUUUUUCAUUUUCAUUCAUUUUUCCUUUUUUUUUUCAAUAUUGAAUUUUGAAUCAAAAAUAAUUAAAGCAUGUUCUUUUUGAAUUUUCCUCAUUUUCCCAAGAAAUUUGAUGCUAAAACAAAAAACUAAAAAUAAAAAAGUGAAUAAAACUAAAACAACAAAUAAAAAACUAAAAAAACAGUAAAUGAAAUUACACCAAAAAUUUGGUGUCUACACUUGUGUUGGGAUUGAAAUCGAGCAUGUUAGGGAACGAGAAUCGUCUAGUUCCAAUUAAUCUAGUGAAUCUCUACUGGUGAUCUUUCAUAGUGAGACGAUGGGAGUAGAACUUAAGAGUUUGCGCCUUGGAGAUGAAUGUACUUGUGAUAAUCACUUGUUUAUUUUUGUUAUUGACUUUGACUUGGCAUGAACUUUACUUGGCCAUAAUUUGUGUUAUGAUUUAAUGAACUCUAGUUUGUGUUUACUUGCAUAGUGAUAAUGUUAUUUGUGAAAGUGUUUUCAUCCUCUUUAAAUGUUGCUACUGGUAUAUGAGUGUAGUUCAAUUUUAACUAAGUGUGAGGGUUAUGCAUGUGCGUAUAGAUUAGUUGUGGACAUGGAAACUAGAGGACAACGAAAGGGACGUCAACCUAGACCACCCCGAAAUGAAAGAGUAGCUAAUGGGUCCGAUAUCGAUCAAAACGUUGAGCUAAGUGCUGGGAGAGGAAAUGACCAGAUAGGACAAGUUUUAACUCGCAUGACGGAUAUCCUAGAGCUCUUGGUAGCUCAACAAGGUCAAGGUGUUGGACAAGGAAACCAACGUGGAAACCAAGAGAUAGGGGAGGAUCGAGCUUUAGAGCGGUUUCAGAAAUUCUCUCCGCCCAAGUUUGCUGGAGGGCCUGAUCCAGAGGUGGCUGAGAAUUGGUUAGAGAAUAUAAGAAAUAUAUUCGACGCCUUGGAUUACACAGAGGAGAGACAAGUCAUAUUUGCUGUAUUUCAACUUGAAGGAGCAGCCCGAGCAUGGUGGAAUGUUAUAAGAAAUAAGUGGGAAAGAGAUCAAACUCCGAGAAUUUGGAUAAACUUCGUGCGUGAAUUUAAUGAGAAAUUUCUUCCUCCACUUGUCCAAGAAAAGAGAGAAGAUGAUUUUAUAAAGCUUCGUCAAGGAACUUUAAGCGUAGCUGAGUAUGAAACACGCUUUACGAAGUUAUCUACAUAUGCCCCAGAAUUGAUGGCUAUUGAACGGAAGAGAAUAAGACGGUUUAUCCAAGGAUUAGAUUUGGAAAUCCAAGAUGCCCUUGCCGCAGCACAGGUUGAAACAUUUAGUGAUGCUCUUGAAAAAGCGCAAAGGGUAGAAAGCACAAAAUCUCAACUGAGAGCUUUUCAAAAAGGAAAAGAGAUACAUCUGACAGUACACUAGGAAAAAAUGGACCACCAUCCAAAGUUAGAAAAGAAGUGGAUGAAAUAGGACUGUUACUUCCUGCACCACUCAUGAUAAAGGAACCAAAAGGAACUAUGUCACGAGGGACUUCAGUAGGACAAACACGAUCAAAGAAAACCUCGCAAGCAAGUCAGGUCACAACACCUCGUCCGACUUGUGGAUAUUGUGGAAGGACGAAUCACACUGAAGAAAACUGUUGGCUAAAGGGACGAAAGUGUAUGGGAUGUGGGAGUACCAAUCAUAAAGUUCAUGACUGUCCAAGGAGGUAUCCACGAGAAACUACUGCUCAACAAGGAAAUGGAACUGUUUCUCGACAAGUCAAUGGAAGGAGAAACCGACCAAUGGCAUCUGAAAGAACGCAUGACAUGAACACCCCACACGGUUCAGAGUUGUCUGAGAUUACAGAAGGUAUGAAUUUCGAGGACGAAAUUCUUUUAAGGAGGGGAGGUUGUGAGGACUCGCAAAAUUUACUUAUUUAAUCUCCUAUUUCUAGCUUAUUUAAUUAUUUAUUUGGUCUUUUACUCCGAAUAUUAUUUUCUAAGCUCUUGAGACCUAAUUACAUGGAAAUAUAGUUUCAUUAUAUUUUUAAAAUGACUUGUUUCAAAAAUUAAUUUUCGGAAGCUCGUUUUGUAAAAAUAGUGAACACGUCUUUGGAAAUCUUGAUCGAUUGAGAGUACAAUAGGUUUGAAAUAUUGGAGACAUGUACAAUGGACCUAAAUUAGGCAUUUUAAUGUUUAAAUACUCAAGUGAUAGUUAUUAGUACUAUCGUUAUAAGAAUUUCUCGGAAGUUUCGCGUUAUUGCGCUUAAAUUGGAGAUACGCGUUUUCACACGCGCAAUUUAAAUUGAGGAACUUUAGACCCUUAUUUUGGGACAAUUAAGAGUGAAUAAUAUUUAUAUGAAUAUAAAUGCAUUAGAAGUUUAGUACACUAGUGAAACAAACGCGAGAGGAAUCGAGCACAAAACGCGCGCGUGCGCGCACUUUUUGCGGUUGACUUUUGUGCACCCAAUCCUUAGUCAUUAAGCUUCCUUUGGAAGCCUCAUUUCAGACCACAAUUUCUCUCUCUUGCUCCCUCAUCUGGCCGAACAACAAAGCAAGAAAAACAGCUCAAGAGUUCUUCCAAUUCCUCCAUCAAAUCUUCACCAAACCUCUUCCAAUUCACUCCAAAUUCGAACUACACUUAGCUUAACACUUGAGGAGUAUUUUGAGCUGCAAAAGGGAGCUGAAAAGCCACGAUUUUCUGGAGCAAAGAGUGACCAAAAUUUCUGAUCUAAUCAUCCAAGAAGGUAGCAAAUCAUCCAACCCAUAGAUCUUAGUUUUUGUAAGAUUUAUUGCACAUAUAAGGUUAUAUAAUCAUGUGGGUAGUCUUGUUUAUGGUAUAAAAUGUGAAAGUGGGCUCUAUGAACUCCCACUCUUGGGUUGUUGCUGAUUUGAUGUUGGAUGAUGAAAUUAAUGGUGGUUUAGUGCUUAUAUUAGUAGAUUAAUGUUGUAUUGUUGGUAGAAAAUCAAAGGAGGUGCUUGGAGCAAAAGUGACCGUUUUACCCCUGCCUUGUCCGACCGUUUUCGUGCCAGAUUUUGAGAUUCUAAUGAAUUGAUUAUGUUGUUUAUCUAUUAUUGUAAGUGUGUACAAAAUUUCAUUGAAAAAUAACAUGAUUUGGUUGGUCAAAUGAGUUGAUUUCCAAAGUUAGCAAAACUGGAAAAUGAAUCCCGUAUUGCCCAGGCAGUCAUUUUGUAACGGCCAUAACUCUUUGUUCCGAUGUCGAAAUCAAGUGCCGUUUGCGGCAUUGGAAACUAGACAUUCCUAGCUUUCCAUCGGUACCAAUUUCACAUUCUGGUUCCACUUGAGUGAGCCACACCAUUCGAUUGAAUAUCACUGUCCUGUUUCGUUGCUCUCCAGGAGACAGGACAGAAAUUGCUUCUUGAUGCUCAAAAACGAGCUAUUUGUGAAUGGAAUUUGAAAAUGGUUUCUUCUGAGAAAAUUCAGCUUUAGAAGAGAGCUUUCCAACGCCAUCAACCACGCCCAAUUCCAAGUUGAAUGGAGUGAGUUGUGGCCAAAGUUUGAAACUGCUACAGUGAUAGAAUUUUCCACUUGGACAGAUUUGUAACUAACAAUGAUUUGGGACUUGUUGUUUUGGAAACUUUGAUGUCCGACAUCUACCAAACUUUAGAUUAGAUGUUCCUUGGACUUUGUUUCACAAAUAAACCAGAUUUGGGUUGGUUGCUUUGGACAAAAUGUUUAAAAAGGAAAGAAGAGCUAGAAGACAGUUUUACCUUGGGAAAUUUCCUGAACUUUGAUGGUUUAGUUAACUACCUUCCCGUGUGAAUUUUCAAAUGAAAUUUGAUAGAAGAGUAAUCCUCAUAUGGAGGUUUAAUUGUACAAAAUUUGGUAAUAUUCUAAGACCAUUUUGAUAUGCAAAUGAUGUCACAAAAUUCGCUCAUCGAAUCUGGAAAACUUUUCGUUUUCUCUUAGCCAAAUGGUCAAAUCUGAUUUGGAGAGUUUUAUUUCUAGAAUUUGGAUGUCAAUGGUCUUUAAAUUGCUCAGUGGAUGUUUAUGAACUCUUGGUUUCAAUAAUGGAGAGAUUUGAAACUGAUUUCAUGGUACAAAAAGUUUGUAAACGAAAGAAAAGUGAGAAGGUAGUUUAGCCUUGAAACUCUUCAUAAACUUUGGUUGUUUUAAUGACUACCUUACCGUGAGAGUUUUUGUACGAAACUUAGUAGAAAUGUUGUUCACACAUGGAAGAUUUAGUGUACCAAGUUUGAUGUAUUUCUAAUGCCAACUUGAUGACCAAAUGAUAUUUCGAAUCUAGUUUUAAACCUGGAAAAUAGCCCAACAGUCUUAACUUUUUCAGCAACUUGGAGGUACUAUAUCUUGGUGCUCGAAACUCCGUUUCUCGUUCCGCUUGUUUUGUUAUACUCUUGGAUUGCAACACUAAUUGAUUUCCAAAUUUCAAAGGUUAGUUCAAAACAAGUGAAUUUUUCCGAAUUUCUAAAGUUGGCCAAAAACCAACUUAAAUCUGUCUUGGUAAUUCAAGUUACCAACUUUGAGCCAAAAUUUGAGUGCCUUUCACUUACAUUCGUGGAAAAGUGUCUUCUAAGAACUUUUAGUACUUUGAAAGAGGAUUCCAACAGUACCAAGUUUUCCAAUUUUGGACUUGUGGAGAGUGAAAUAUGAUUUUUCAAAUAUUGCUUGUUAAAUCUGGAAUUUUCUAACUUAAAGGAAACUAAGGGUUUCAAACCCUCCAUUUUCCUUCAAUAUCAUUUGAUCGUUUUACAUUUGAUUUCAAAGAUGGAAAUCAGAUUUGUCUUGUAUUUUAAAACCCACUUUUGAACCUCGAGUUACACGAACUCUUAGACUCGUCUCUGCGUUAAUUUCUUAGAUUGUACUAGUGUACAAUUUUCCUCGAUAAUUAGAAUGAUUUUGAGUGGUAGUUGAUUAUUGUUUGCUCAGGCACUCGAGGGAAUCUCCCAGAGGAACUCGGAGCGGACACCUAAGACGCUUGUUUAAGAACUACUCGCUUGUUUUGACUAGGUGAGUGUUCCAUAUAGGAAUACGUAAUUGGAAUAAGUCUAUGACAUGCUUAACCCAUGGUCAUUAAGUAUUUACCACACUCAUGCUGUGAGAACCCGUAAAUUCCCUAAUAAUUUUCUAGGGUUUAUUUCCUUUAAUGGCAUGUUUUCUGCAUUUUCUGGUUUAGGAAAAUUCUCCUGAUGCAUUUUAUGAGUAAUUAUAGUUUUUAUAUGAAUUUUCUAGUAUUGGAGAGUUUUCGAAAAAUUAAGGAUAGAUAACGGACGUGGGACCCACUAGUGCGAUAAGUUCGGAAAAAAAUUCUACCAAUAAGUUUAAGUUUCGGAUACUGGUUGAAAUUUAUCGGGUGUUAAGAGAUAAGUAGAGGAUGUCAUUUGGAUUGGUAUGAGGGGGAACAAAGAGAUAGAGAUUCAUUAAUUAGGUGACAAGUGUCACCAUUUGAUUGGAUGGACACUAUUCACUUUUUGACUUUUUUACCAAGUGAUUAAAUAUCUUAAAAUUUCACAAAAAUCACCAUUUCUUCUCUCUCUCAUGGCCGAACCUCUUGCAAGGAAAAGGAAGAAAACUUCUCCAAGUUUCAAGCUUCAAACUAGCUCAAUCUUCCAUUCCAACCGAUUAAACUUAGAAUUGUUCCAUAAAAUCCCUCUAGUUGGUGCUAGUAAGUGAUUUGGUGAAGUUUUUUUUGAAGAGCUAAGGUGGUCUACAUCUCUCCCUCUCUUGUUUACUUGGUAAGUGGUAUAUGAACUCCCUUCUAUACUUAAUGAUGGUUAAUUGGUGCCUAGUGGAAGCUAAAGUGAUGGAUUAUGUGAGUUAUUUCUUGAUUUGUGAUGAAUUGGUGAAGUUUUUAUUUUUUUGAGGAAUUUUCUGGUUUAAUGUGAUCAUGGUGUUGUGGUUGUUUAUGAUGGUUGGUAAUAAGGGGUAAUGACUUUAGUAGGUGUAAAUGAUUGGUAAUUGCAAGCAAUUUUGGGUUUGGAGGAGAUUUCAGCAAAAUAGGGUUUUAUACCCCAAAUUUCUGUCCGAUUUUGUAUCUUGUGGUUAGAGACCGAAUUGGCCUUUACUCAAAACAUUAAAGUUGUAGGUAUUGAUGUGUUUGAGGUGCCUGUAAAAUUUCAGGUCAUUUGGAUGAGUGUAGAGUGAGUUAUGACGGAAUUACUGUAGCUGUUCUGCUUUGGACAGAAUGCGAAAUCUGCACUGGUAAUUGGCCAUUUUGACUGGAAUCGGUUUGGAUUUUGAAGUUGGUGUCUUCUGAUGAAAUGUAGCUGGAUGUCUUAGCUACCAUAUGCCUUUGGAAUUUCGGCAUUUGGACCUAUAUAGACUGAAUUAUAGUAAUUACAGUUUUGUGUGAUUUGCAAACCUGUUUUGGUCAUUCUGGUUUAGUAUCUGGAAUAUUUGACCUAGUUAAGCUAGGAACUGGAUUGAGUGACCUUCUGCAUUGUUGUAGCCCUGUUUCAUAGCUUCGAAACGGUGGGUCUUACACCCCCAUCCGAUAAUCGUAGUGAAAUUGACGCCAUUACCGCAUUAGGAGGUCAAAACUGUUUUUAUUGUUGGAACAAAUGAGUUACAUUUCCUGAUUUUCUGGUUUGCUUUAAUGCUUAUUUAUGCAUAUGAAACCUUAUUGGGGUUGUGGUUGGCAUGGCUAUAUGACUCGUUAUCGAGUCUCUUUUGGGGCUUGCUUUCAUUUCGGUUGUUUCCUAGCUAAGUUUUGUGCUUGUACUACUUUGAGCCUAGUGAACGGCUUUUGGGAAAUGAGAUGACUUUUGUGUGAAAUGUUGGGACUGAUUUGAGGAUAUAAUGAAGCCUUAAUGGCUGGAAAAGUAAGAAAUUUAGGGGAAGUGCUGCCCAAUUUUCUAGGCCGUUUGGUUUCUUUAAGUUGGAUUGGCCUUUUUGUGGAAAUGAAAGGCUUUUGGGUUGUUUGUGCCUAAGUCUUCAUACUAACUUUUCGUUUUCAAGAAAAUCAUGUUUUUGUACCCUUGCAUUAGUAUGUCUCACUUGUGCAUUCCGUUUAUUCGAUUUUAGAUAUGAAACCUUCAAUUGGUUUAUUUUGAUUAUUUUAGGGUUUCUUGGCGAUUAAGGCCAAUCUGAAGUGAAACUUUUUGAAGUUGAAUUGGUGAGUGUACCACUCCCCUUCAUUGCUGUUUAACUUGAUUUCUGCUCUGUAAUCUGUUAAAUUUGUUUGAGACGAGGGUGUACUUUAUCACACUCGUUCUUUUAUCUGUUCAUAUGCCAAUUUUGAGUGCCUAUCUGAAUCUGCCGUCUGAAUCUGCUAUCUGAAUCUGCUAUUCUGUAUCUGUAUCUGAAUCUGUUAUCUGUAUCUGCAUCUGUUCGGAUUUCUAUGACCUAUGAGCUCAAUCCUGUGGCUAAGUUAUUCGAGUCGGGCCGGCAAGGGCCUGGACGAUUAGAUAACGAACCACGGUAGUCUGUUCGGGGAUUUUUGGGUAUUGAGACCCUUGAUUCCGGUAUACUCGAGUAUUACCAUUUCUGUUCGGUUACGGUGAGCGGGCCCGGUAAAGGGGUGUUUGGUGGACGGAAUUCGGUGUAAAGAGGGGUCUACGGACGUUUUGGUUCUAUAUACGUUGACGGAGAGUCAACCAAUUUGGAUCAAGUACUGCGCUGGAAAUUUGGCUCCUGAGAGCCACCCGUAUCCUUUUGAUUUGAAUCAUUGGUUCCUUUGCUUUACAUCUGGCAUGUGUAUCUGAUUUGAAAAAUGUGAAAUGCCAUGAUUUUUCUGCUAUCUGUUUGGUACCUCAUUGAGCGCAAGCUCACCCCGUUCUGUCCCUUUUGUUUUCCUUACAGGAAAAUAAAUACUUUUGGACUGGAUUUGAUAAUCGGUUGCCGACUUGAGCUAGUUGAACAUAUCUUUUGUAUAGCUCAUGUAUUAAAACCCUAAGUGUACUUUUGGGGCGUUUCUCUUUUGAUUUGGCAAACCGUGUAUAUGUAUUAUCUUUUGAAAGCUUUUGUAUGUCAUUUUGAUUUGUAAACGCUAAAGUUCAGAUGUAAAUGUUUGUUAGCUAUUUCGGUUGGGUUCUGAUGGGUCGGUUACUAUUCAUGGCCGGCUCCGGAUUUCAUUUCAUUUUAUCUUGGGUUGUUUUACUAUUUUGAUUUGUUUACGCGAGUUUGUAAGUUCCAGAUUGAAGCGGAUAGCUCUAAUCUGAUCCGUAGUCCUGGCGAGAGCUGGGCAGGCAGUCCGCUAACCCCUUUGGUUCGCCUUAGGGGAAAGUGGGGCUGUUACACAUGCACAUUUGAAUAAUGUAUACUUGAAUUACUCGACAUGAAACACCUGAAGUAGGUAUAUUUGAACUAUUCGAUAUGAAAUGCUUAAAGAGCAUACUUAUGUGAUUACUUGAAAUACUAGAUAUGAAAUGUUUGGAGAGCAUAUUUACAUGAUGUGUUUAAAUGAUUAAUUAUGCUAUGGAAGCAUAAGUCGGUUGGAGUAAAUCUCCUCGACUCUUACGUGGUGAAAGUGAAAAACGGCCAAUGGCGGCCUAUUGAAAUGACAUAUGUCUACCAAUUAACCGUAAUUACUACCGUUAACCGUUUACCGUUAACCGUGUUUACUUACCGUUUUCUAAUCUAUUUGGUUACUUGCUUACUUGGUUAUCUGCUUACGUGAUCACCAACUUACUUGGUUACUUGACCACCUGAUUACUUGAUUAUCAUGAAUCACAUGUUAUAUGAAGCUGUCCAUCAUUAUUAGGCGAGUGUGUACUUUACCUCACUCGACCUACUCAAAUGAUGAAUUUUACCUUUUGUCGAAUUACUUGGUUACCUGUGCAUGUUGUAAGCUCUAAGCUGAACUUGGGCCCUGCCCUUGGUUACUGACCUACUCGAGCCAGGACUGGGCUCGGUCGGGUAGGUUGGAACCCUGGGCCACCGUUUCGGUAUACUCGAGUAUUACCACUGGAGGGAUAAGGCGAUGGCCAGACCGUACCGUGGGGAUCAGAAGUCAUAAGGUGCAGAUGACCGACAGAGUUCCACUGGAACACCGUAUCCUACCGUAUAUGUUUACCUUGUAUCAUGAUAAUUGUUUCAUGCUAAAAUGCCAACAUGAAAUCCUGAACUAUGCCUGUGAUAUGCUCCAUACCUGUUACCUGACCAAUGUACUUAUAUCAUGAUACCUGUCUCAUGAUAAAUGUCUCAAAUUACUCGUACAAUGAUUAUCACCUCAUGAUAACACGCCAUUGUGUAACAUUGAACCAUGCAUAUGAUAUGCCCAACUUACUUGAUUUAUUUGAACUGUUAGAGUGUAUUGGAACCUCACUGGGCUAUGUAGCUCAUCCCACGUUGUGGUUUUCUUUUACAGGGUUCGAGACCAAGGGUGCUCGUGAGUAGUACUAGAUUGUUUUCUUUUGAAAACUUUAAGUUAUAUUAUAACGGAUGGCUAUUGUACCCUUUUCCGUUGGGUUGUAUUUAAGCUUGGAAGCUGCAUAAUUGUAAGUGUGAGAUAUUUGGAGUACUUUAAUUAUGUAUUGAAGUUACUUAAAGUAUUUCGAGCUUUUGAAUGAUGGAUUGUAGUGAGUCCUGGCGAGAGCUGGGCAGGCGUCCUGCGGAUACCCUUUGGUUCGCCUUAGGGAGAAGUGGGGGCGUCACAAAUUCGGCCUCUAUCUAGGAGUAAAAAAAACGGGCAGAAUGUUCCAACCAAAAACCCUAACUUGCUGAAAUUCUUCCAAACCAGAAAUUGAUUGCAAUUGUUCACUUUUCCCACCUCCUUAAGUCAUUAUAUACCAUUUCUAAUCAUCCUAGAUAGCCACACAAUCAUGCUUAUAUUAAAACAGAAAAAUCCCCGAAAAUAACAAAACUUCAUCAUUUCAACCACAAAUUAAGAAUUAAUCCACAAAAUUGCCUCUUAUGCCACUACUAAACAUAAAUUAAACAUCAUUAGAGGGAGGAAAGGGGUUCAUCAUGACUUACCUUAGAAACAAGAGAGAGAGAGCUAUUGAUCACCUUAACUUUCCAAAAGAAACUCCACCAAACAACUCACAAACACUAAGUGAAGAGGUUUUAUGGAGUAAUUGCAAGAUCAAAUGGUUGGAUGGUUCACCUUGAGCAAGAUUGGAGCUAAAACUUGAAGAGUUUCUUGCUUCCUUUUGGAGAGAGAGGGCCGGCCAUAUGAGGAGAGAAAAUGGUGAUUUUUGUGCAAUUUUUAAGAUAUUUAACCUUUGGUCAAAAAAAGUCAAAAAUUGGAAUAGUAAAUCUUAAAGUAAAACCAAUAAGAGGGUGACACUUGUCACCCCAUUAAUGCAAUCUUAUCACUUCUUUUUCCUCUCACAUCAAUCAAAUCUCACUCUCUACUUAUCUCUUAACACCCGAUAAAUUUUACACAGGAUCUGAAACUUAACCUUAUUGGCCGAAUUUUUCCGAACUUUUCGCACUAGUGGGUCCCACGUCCAUAAUCUCUCCGUAAUUUUUCAAAAACUACCCAAUGCUAGGAAAAUCAUCUAAAAACUAUAAUUACUCAUAAAAAAUCCUCAGGAAAAUUUCCUAAGCCAGGAAAUGCAGAAAACAUGCUAUUAAAGGAAAUAAAACCCUAGGAAAAUUAUUAAGGGAUUUACGGGUUCUCACACUCUCUCCCCCUUAAAGAAAUUUCGUCCUCGAAAUUUUCUUAUCAGUAGAAUCCAUCGAAUCUAAGGUACCCAACGGAUCGUACCUUCUCCAUCCUCAGACGAGUCAGGGACCUGAUGCUGCUCUAGAGAAUAUACUCGAGCUGGUGCCUUCGAUCCCGUCCCUUCUCCUUUCGUCUGUCCAGGGUUGCUCUUGGCGGGUUGCUGAGAAUUGGGCUUGGUUGGUGGCAGAGUCCCUCUCCGCUCGCGCAGGCGAGCUGGACAGUUAGCAAUCCGAUGUUCAAGGCUUCCACAGCGCAAGCAUUUUCCUUCUUUCUUCCAGCAAUUUGUUUCCGUAUGACUUGGCCCUCCGCAAUAUCCACAGGGACCACGAGCAGCAGAGACCGGUCCUCCCAGUGAGACACCACUGGCCACCCCCGGUUGCCGUACUCCCCCAUUUCCUUUUCCACUCUUAGGGAGUGUGCUCUUAUCUUCCUGUUCCGAGCUGCUUCCAGGAAAGCCCCUUUUCUUGGUUUGGAAGUUUCUAACUUGUAGCCUCGCAUCUUCAACCCGUUGAGCUUUCUCCACAGCGUCACUAAAGGUACCAAGUUGAGCUACAGCCAAAUCCUUUUGAAUCUCAACAUUUAAUCCCUGGAUGAAUCGUCUUAUCCGUCUUUGUUCGGUUAUAAUCAGUUCGGGCGCAAACUUAGACAACCGAGUGAAUUGACUCUCAUACUCGGCUACGGUCUGAGUUCCUUGGCGAAGCCGAAUAAAUUCAUCUUCCUUCUUUUCUUGGAUUAGAGGAGGGAAAAACUUGGCAUUAAAUUCCCUCAUAAAGUUCGCCCACGUCCUCGGGGUUUGUUCCCUUUCCCAUUUCAUUCGAAUGACAUUCCACCAGGAACGGGCGGCUCCCUCUAGUUGAAAGACAGCAAAUGUUACCUGUCUCUCCUCGGUAUAGUGUAAGGCAGCGAAAAUAUCGAUCAUCUUCUCCAGCCAUUUCUCAGCCACGUCAGGAUCAGGGCCUCCAAGAAACUUGGGUGGGGAGAACUUCUGAAAUCUCUCAAGGGCUCUAUCCUCGCCCUCCAUGUGAUUACCAGGAUUCCCAGGGUUAGGGUUAGGGUUUUGACCUUGUUGGUGCACCACUUGGGCUAGCAAAGCAGUCAUUUGCUGCAUAGCAGCAGCUAUUUGGACAUUGGGGUCAACCCUAAGUUCAGGGUUUGGUCCAGAUGAGGUUUCCCCAGUACCCCUUUCAGGUGUAGGUUGCCUAUUUCCACGCCCACGGCCCCGUCCACUACGAGUGCCUUCCAUUGGUCUAAUAAAUCUAGGGUCGAAGCGGGAAUAUAAUAUUAAACAUAGGUAGACAAAAGCAAGUAGCAAAAGGUACGUACAGAUCAAAAGUAUACAUAUAUAACAUAGCUGUACCAAACAAGCCACACAGUAGCAAUCAAUUAGAUACAAAUAUGAAAAAUCCAUGAAAGUAGCGGGGUCAUCCAGAGUACUAUAGACAAACGAGGUCAUAAGUACAACAAUAACUAACGAAAAUAUUUUCCCCUCUAGGGCUCCAUCCCUAAUCUCAAAUCCACGAGAAUGCCCCAAUUUAUAUCUUAAUCCAAGUUAAUCAUGCUUACUAACAUCCGAACAACUACACGAAAUUCCAUAGAAUCACAUUUCGAGUUCGCCCAAAUCUUUUCUAACCUAGGCUCUCCUCUUUUUCGUAUCCGGGCGCAAGAAUCCCAUCUAAGAUAAUUCACAACUCGAGCCGGCCGGUCCCAAGAGUAAAUCAUCCAUAUUAAAGAUUCCUACCCGACAUACAUACCUAGCUUCCUCGAGUCCCAUGAUAAUGAUUCGUACACUUAUCACAUUCCCGGUUCAUAAUUUAUGCUCAAACGAGCACUUAGACAUAUUCAUGAAAUUAGAACCACAACACCACUUGGCCCAGUCUCACUCCGCGCAGAGACCACGCGAAGUGGCUCUGAUACCACUUGUAACAGCCCCACUUUCCCCUAAGGCGAACCAAAGGGGUUAGCGGACUGCCUGCCCAACUCUCGCCAGGACUACGGAUCAGAUUAGAGCUAUCUGCUUCACUCCGGAACUUACAAACUCGCGUAAACACAUCAAAAUGGUAAAAUAAUCCAAAAUAAAAAAAAAUGAAAUCCGGAGCCGGCCAUGAAUAGUAACCGACCCGUCAGAACCCAACCGAAAUAGUUAACAAACAUUUACAUCUGAACUUUAGCGUUUACAAAUCAAAAUGACAUACAAAAGCUUUCAAAAGUUAAUACAUAUACACGGUUUGCCAAAUCAAAAGAGAAAACGCCCCAAAAGUACACUUAGGGUUUUAAUACAUGAGCUAUACAAAAGAUAUGUUUAUCUAGCUCAAUUUGGCAGCCAUUUGUCAAAUCCAAACCAAAAGGGUUUAUUUUCCUGUAAGGAAAACAAAAGGAACGGAAAGGGGUGAGCUUGCGCUCAAUGAGGUACCAAACAAAUAGCAUUAAAAUCAUGGCAUUUCACAUUUAACAAAUCAGAUACACAUGUCAGAUGUAAAGCACAGAAACCAAUGAUUCAAAUCAGAAGGAUACGGGUGGCUCUCAGGAGCCAAAUUUCCAGCGCAGUACUUGAUCCAAACCGGUUGACUCUCCGUCAACGUAUAUAGAACCAAAGGGGUUAGCGGACUGCCUGCCCAACUCUCGCCAGGACUACGGAUCAGAUUAGAGCUAUCUGCUUCACUCCAGAACUUACAAACUCGCGUAAACACAUCAAAAUGGUAAAAUAACCCAAAAUAAAAAAAAAUGAAAUCCGGAGCCGGCCAUGAAUAGUAACCGACCCGUCAGAACCCAACCGAAAUAGUUAACAAACAUUUACAUCUGAACUUUAGCGUUUACAAAUCAAAAUGACAUACAAAAGCUUUCAAAAGUUAAUACAUAUACACGGUUUGCCAAAUCAAAAGAGAAAACGCCCCAAAAGUACACUUAGGGUUUUAAUACAUGAGCUAUACAAAAGAUAUGUUCAUCUAGCUCAAUUUGGCAGCCAUUUGUCAAAUCCAGACCAAAAGGGUUUAUUUUCCUGUAAGGAAAACAAAAGGAACGGAAAGGGGUGAGCUUGCGCUCAAUGAGGUACCAAACAAAUAGCAUUAAAAUCAUGGCAUUUCACAUUUAACAAAUCAGAUACACAUGUCAGACGUAAAGCACAGAAACCAAUGAUUCAAAUCAGAAGGAUACGGGUGGCUCUCAGGAGCCAAAUUUCCAGCGCAGCACUUGAUCCAAACCGGUUGACUCUCCGUCAACGUAUAUAGAACCAAAGGGGUUAGCGGACUGCCUGCCCAGCUCUCGCCAGGACUACGGAUCAGAUUAGAGCUAUCUGCUUCACUCCAGAACUUACAAACUCGCGUAAACACAUCAAAAUGGUAAAAUAACCCAAAAUAAAAAAAAAAUGAAAUCCGGAGCCGGCCAUGAAUAGUAACCGACCCGUCAGAACCCAACCGAAAUAGUUAACAAACAUUUACAUCUGAACUUUAGCGUUUACAAAUCAAAAUGACAUACAAAAGCUUUCAAAAGUUAAUACAUAUACACGGUUUGCCAAAUCAAAAGAGAAAACGCCCCAAAAGUACACUUAGGGUUUUAAUACAUGAGCUAUACAAAAGAUAUGUUCAUCUAGCUCAAUUUGGCAGCCAUUUGUCAAAUCCAGACCAAAAGGGUUUAUUUCCUGUAAGGAAAACAAAAGGAACGGGAAGGGGUGAGCUUGCGCUCAAUGACGGUACCAAACAAAUAGCAUUAAAAUCAUGGCAUUUCACAUUUAACAAAUCAGAUACACAUGUCAGAUGUAAAGCACAGAAACCAAUGAUUCAAAUCAGAAGGAUACGGGUGGCUCUCAGGAGCAAAUUUCCAGCGCAGUACUUGAUCCAAACCGGUUGACUCCUCCGGUCAACGUAUAUAGAACCAAGACGUCCGUAGACCCCUCUUUACACCGAAUUCCGUCCACCCAAACACCCUUUACCGGCCGCUCAACCGUAACCGAACAGAAAUGGUAAUACUCGAGUAUACCGGAAUCAAGGCGUUCUCAAUACCCAAAAAUCCCCCGAACAGACUACCGUGGUUCGUUAUCUAAUCGUCCAGGCCCUUGCCGGCCCGACUCGAAUAACUUAGCCACAGGAUUGAGCUCAUAGGUCAUAGAAAUCCGAACAGAUGCAGACACAGAUAACAGAUUCAGAUACAGAUACAGAAUAGCAGAUUCAAUAUCAGCAGAUUCAGACGGCAGAUUCAGAUAGGCACUCAAAUUUGGCAUCAUGAACAGAUAGAAGAACGAGUGUGAUAAAGUACACCUCCGCCUCCAUUUUAUCAAAACAGUAUUUGGCUUCAAUAAUCAUAAAUCAAGUAUUCAGAUAUUCAGAUAUUUCACAUAAUGGGUAGCAGGUAGUGGAACACUCACCGCUCAACUUCAAAAAGUUUUCACUUCAGAUUGGCCUUAAUCGCCAAGAAACCCUAAAAUAAUCAAAAUAAAACCAAUUGAAGGUUUACUUCCAGAAUCGGGAGUAAACAGAAUGCAUAUGUGAGGCUCGACUACACGUCGUACGCCUUGCCAAAUAAAUACUAGUGCAAGAAUGCAAAAAACAUGAUUCCCUUGGAAACGAAAAGGUAGCAUGAAGACCUAGGCGCAAACAACCCAAAAGCCUUUCAUUCUACCAAAAGGCAAAUCCAACUUAAAGGAACCAACGGCCUAGAAAAUCGGGCAGCACUUCCCCUAAAUUUCUUACUUUUCCAGCCAUUAAGGCUUCAUUAUAUCCUCAAUCAGUCCCAACAUCUCACACAAAAUUCAUCUCAUUUCCCAAAAGCGUUCGCUAGUCUCAAAGUGGUACAAGUACAAAAGUUAGCUACGAAACAACCGAAAUGAAAGCAAGCCUAAAAGAGACUCGAUAACGAGUCAUAUAGCCAUACCAAUUAUAACCCUAAUAGGUUUCAUAUGCAUAAAUAAGCAUCAUAGGUAACCAGAAAUUAAGAAAUGGCUUUAACUUAGGCCUUAACAAAAAAAACGUAUUUGACCUCAUAAUGCGGUAAUGACACCAUUUUCACUACGGUUAUCGGAUGGGGGUGCAAGACCCACCGUUUUCGAAGCUAUGAAACAGGGCUACAACAAUGUAGAAGGCCACUCAGUCCAAAUCCUAGCACAACUAGGUCGAAAAUGCAGAAACCACAACCUGAACCGUAAUUGCAGGUUUACAAAUCACACAAAACUGUAAUCCGUACAACUCGGUCUAUACAGGUCCAAAUGCAUUGAUUCCAAAGGCAUAUGGUAACUAAGACAUUCAGCUACAUUUCAUCAGAAGACACCAACAACAAAAUCCAAACCAAUUCCAGUCAAAAUGGCCAAUUACUAGUGCAGUUUUCGCAUUCUGAUCAACCCAGAACAGCAACAGUAAAAAACACCAUAUCUCACUCUACACUACUCCAAAUGACCUGAAAUUUUACAGGAACCUCAAACACAUCAAUACCUACAACUUUCAUGAAUUCGGCCUCUAUCUAGGAGUAAAAAAAACGGGCAGAAUGUUCCAACCAAAAACCCUAACUUGCUGAAAUUCUUCCAAACCAGAAAUUGAUUGCAAUUGUUCACUUUUCCCACCUCCUUAAGUCAUUAUAUACCAUUUCUAAUCAUCCUAGAUAGCCACACAAUCAUGCUUAUAUUAAAACAGAAAAAUCCCCGAAAAUAACAAAACUUCAUCAUUUCAACCACAAAUUAAGAAUUAAUCCACAAAAUUGCCUCUUAUGCCACUACUAAACAUAAAUUAAACAUCAUUAGAGGGAGGAAAGGGGUUCAUCAUGACUUACCUUAGAAACAAGAGAGAGAGAGCUAUUGAUCACCUUAACUUUCCAAAAGAAACUCCACCAAACAACUCACAAACACUAAGUGAAGAGGUUUUAUGGAGUAAUUGCAAGAUCAAAUGGUUGGAUGGUUCACCUUGAGCAAGAUUGGAGCUAAAACUUGAAGAGUUUCUUGCUUCCUUUUGGAGAGAGAGGGCCGGCCAUAUGAGGAGAGAAAAUGGUGAUUUUUGUGCAAUUUUUAAGAUAUUUAACCUUUGGUCAAAAAAAGUCAAAAAUUGGAAUAGUAAAUCUUAAAGUAAAACCAAUAAGAGGGUGACACUUGUCACCCCAUUAAUGCAAUCUUAUCACUUCUUUUUCCUCUCACAUCAAUCAAAUCUCACUCUCUACUUAUCUCUUAACACCCGAUAAAUUUUACACAGGAUCCGAAACUUAACCUUAUUGGCCGAAUUUUUCCGAACUUUUCGCACUAGUGGGUCCCACGUCCAUAAUCUCUCCGUAAUUUUUCAAAAACUACCCAAUGCUAGGAAAAUCAUCUAAAAACUAUAAUUACUCAUAAAAAAUCCUCAGGAAAAUUUCCUAAGCCAGGAAAUGCAGAAAACAUGCUAUUAAAGGAAAUAAAACCCUAGGAAAAUUAUUAAGGGAUUUACGGGUUCUCACAUUUGGAGCAAGAUGGAAUCAAGAAAUUGAAGAGGUUUUCUUUCUUUCCUUGCCUUUCGGGCACUAGAGCUUGAAAAAUGGAGUAAUUUUGGUAAAGUUUUAGUUUAUUAAGUCAAAUGAUAAGACAUGGAAUAGUAGUCAUACAAGUCCAUCCAAUAGGCAAGUGACACUUGUCACUUUAUUUAAUGCAAGUCUAUCACUUUGUUUCCUCUCACACCAAUCCAAAUUGCAACCACUACUUAUUUCUUAACACCCGAUAAAUUAAUUCCAGUAUCCAAAACUUAACCUAGUUGGCCGAAUUUUUCCGAACUUUUCGCACUAGUGGGUCCCCACGUCCGGUAUACGCUUUUAAUUUCUCAAAAACUAUCCGAUACUAGAAAAAUCAUCCAAAAACUAUAUUUACUCAUAAAAAUUAUUUUCCCAAUUUCUCAAAUCAAUAAAAUGUGGAAAAACGUGCAAUUAUAAGAAAAAAUAAAUCCGAAUACUUUAAAACAAAAUUACAGGCUCUCACAAAAAUCAAAUCUUACAUCUUACUAUAAUAGAAAUUUGGGCUGCAUGCCCUUUGUUUUUAGCUAUUUUUCAGCCAUUUAUGGCUUCAUUAUUUUCCUCAACUCAGCCCAAAUUCACACAUAAACAACCUUAACACAAUAGCCCUUCACUAGGCUCAAUGUCAUCCCAAUACAAGGCAAUUCUAGUAAUGCAACUAUAAAAAUCAAAGCUGGAAACUAGUAGUAAAGAAGAAUAACUAAGUAACAAGUUUGACGUCUAUCGGCGUUUUGGUCACAGCUAUGCUUAUCGAAUUAGGGUACACUUUAUGGCAUUUUGAAGCCAAGAUAGAGAACUACAUUUCCUAUCAAGACAUCAACACCCAAUUCAUGCAUUUUCAAAGUCAAAAUGUGAAAUCUCAGAGAAAACAGAAAACUGCCCGCGAAAUAGGGCAUUUGGCAGUCAGGGGUAAUUUAGUCAUUUCACAAGAUACAGUGAUCAGUUUGAGCUGAAAAUUCCCUAUAACUUUCAUGUUUUGAGCAAGGACUGAUUCGGUCUUUAUCAUGAUUCGAAUAUGCAGGUCAGUGUGGUUCUUAAAACAGGGCAAAAUUAGUUCUAAGUGCUAGAAAUUUAAACCCUACGCUAGAAAUUUAGAACUAAAUCUGGAAAAUCCUUAUUUGGAAGCUAAAAGUCAUAUUAAACUAUAAAUCUUCAUAUCAUCUCUCUCAAGUCUAUACCAAAACUAGAUAUAAGCAUCUCAUGGCUGAAAAAUAUGAAUCAAAGUUAGAAAAGUUCCACCAACUUCACAACCCGUGCAAUCAUUCAUAAAACUUCCAUAUUCAAGUAAUAUAUCAACUUAAAUGCAAGAUUAAAAGGAAAAAGUAGUUCCUUGCCAAGAAUACCUUAAACUCCUAAGAAGAGUAUCAAAUCACAACUUUCUUCUCCAAAAUCACACCAUACCAAGCUCCUUCCUUCCUUAUUGCAACCUUCUAUGGAUGGAUUUAGGGUUUGAAGUUGAUUUUCCCACAAAAUCUUGCUAGAAAUCAAGAUGAAACUUGAAGGAAUUUUUCUCUCUUCCUCUCCUCUCUCUCUCGGCCAAGGUUGCAAGAAAAUGAAAUGGUUUUGGUUCAAUGUUUACAAGAUGAAGACUAAGAAAGGCUUGGUCAAAGGGUCUUGGUCAAGACCUUGGAUGGAUUUUUGACAAAUGGCACAAUCACAAAUAUUUCAACCAAAAUAUCUUUCUUUUCCUUAGUCAAUAAUGGUGGAUGAAUUAAGGGUUGAUUAAGGGCUAAUUAGCUCAAUUAAAAACAAGGAGAUUAAGGUAAUAAAGUAGUAUUCAAGUAGUGUAUUCAAUCGGUAGCAAACGGCGCACGUCGGUUCAAGCCUAUUUUCCUUAACUCGCACGUACUUGUGUUUUUGCUUAUGGUUCACUAGUUUAUUAUUAUCACUUCUAAUCACACUUUUUCUUAUCUAAACUCACUCUUAACCACCAAAUUUAGUACACACACCUCAUCAAGUGAUCACACGGCCAAAACACGCGAAAAUCCUGAUUUACGCUAACUAUAAUACUAAUACUAAAAGUACAACCCUUGAUUCUAUGAUUUAUUUGCAACUAUUGAGGGAGUAAAUGAGUAGUAAAGAUAUUAUAAAGUAAUUUAAUCAAAAUAAAAGAAAAUGUUAAGAAAAUGAGAAGAAUUUUGCGAGUCCUCACAGAGACCGUAGAUUUGUAUCCCGUUUUUGGCAGAAGUUGCAAGAGGCGCUAGGAACUAAGUUAAGCUAUAGUACAGCCUAUAAUCCUCAAACUGACGAACAGUCAAAAAGAACCAUUCAAACUCUUGAGGAUAUGUUAAGAGCCUGUAUUGUAGAUUUUGGUGGGAGUUGAAGCCAAUAUCUAACCCUGGUUGAGUUCGCGUAUAACAAUAGUUAUCACUCUUCUAUUCAAAUGGCCCUAUAUGAAACACUUUAUGGAUGAAGAUGUCGAUCUCCGAUUCAUUGGGAUGAAAUAGGAGAGAGAAAAAUUAUGGAUCCGGCAACAAUACCAUGGGUUGAGAAAGCUUACAAAAGGGUAAAAGUGAUAUGUCAAAGGCCUCAAACGGCCCAAAGUCGACAAAAGAGUUAUGUUGACCAUCGAAGAAAGGAUUUAGAGUUUGAAGUAGGGGACAAGGUAUUUCUUAAGGUUACUCCACUGAAAAGAAAAAUCAAGGCAGGAAAGGGGAAGAAAUUGCAACCAAGAUACAUAGGACCUUUUAGCAUACUCCAGUGGAUAGGAAAGGUGGCUUAUCGACUAGAGUUACCAGCUAGUUUAUCUCGGAUCCAUAAUGUUUUUCAUGUUUCUUUGCUUAAAAAAUAUCACCCAGAUCCGACUUACAUUUUGCCACUAGAAGAUAUUGAACUGGAAGAGUCUUUAGCCUAUGAGGAACGACCCAUUCGAGUACUGGAUAGGAAGAUAAAGGACUUGAGAAGUAAGUAGAUUCCACUAGUUACGGUUCUAUGGAAACACCAUAAGGUGGAGGAGGCAACCUGGGAGCUGGAGAAAGACAUGCAAGAGAUGUACCCUGAGCUAUUUGCGAAUAAAGGUAUGAAUUUCGAGAUCGAAAUUCUUUUAAGGGGGAGAGAGUGUGAGGUGUGAGGCCCCAGUCCGAUCGUAAGUCGAUAUUAGGGUUAGUUGAUAUUCGGUAUGGAAAAAAAUAGGGUUUUAUGGCUAGGAAGGAAACCCUAAUUCGGUUAAGUUUGGAAAUCCUAGUUUACGUAUUAUUAUUAUAAGGUUCAAGCUAUAGUUUAUAUUCGGUAUUCUAGUGUGUGCCUUGCCAUAGGUAAAUAUAGGAUUUGUUUUAAUUACAAAGGUUUAGUAAGUUUGAAGGAUUAGCAAACCUCUAGUGUUGCAAUAUUAGAAAACUUAAGUAGAAUUUUAUUUAUCGCCCGUCUUUUCCACAUUUUCUUUAUUAGAAAAUUCCCCAGAUAAUUUUUAUUGAGUAAAUAGAGUUUUUAGAUGAUUUUUCUAGUAUUAGUUAGUUUUUGAGAAAUAAGAACGUAUAUUGGACGUGGGACCCACUAGUGCGAAAAGUUCGGAAAAAUUCGGCCAAUUAGGUUAAAUUCCGGAUACUGUGUAAAAUUUAUCGGGUGUUAAGAGAUAAGUAGAGAGUGAGAUUUGAUUGAAGUGAGAGAGAAAAGAAAGGAUAGGAAUGCAUUUAUGGUGGUGACAAGUGUCACUAUCUCAUUGGUUUUACUUUAAGAUUUACUAUUCACCUUUUGACAUUUUUUUUUGACUUUUGACCCAAUUAAGUAAAUAUCCUACAAAUUCACCAAAAUUCACCAUUUUUCCUCUCCUUGUGGCCGGCUCUCUUCCUUGCAAAGAAGAAAGAAAUUCUUCAACUUUCUAGCUUCCAUUUCACUCAAUCUUCCACAACUAAUCACCUAGAUUAGAUUCUACUCCAUAAAAACCUUUCUUCUAGUGCUAGUAAGUAGUUUGGUGAAGUUUGUUUGAAGAGCUAAGGUGUCCAACAUCUCUCUCUUUCUUGAUUUCUUGGUAAGUGAUACUUGAACACUCUACUACACCUAAUGAUGUUUAUGUUAUGCUUAGAAGUAGCUUGAGUGAUGGAAUAUGUGAUUUAUUUCUUGAUUUGAAGAGUUUUGGUGAAGUUUUCCAUUUUAUGAUGAAUUUUCUGGUUUAAUAUGAAUGGGAUGUUGUGGCCUUGUAUGAUGAAUGGUAAUGGUUUCAAAUGACUCUAGUAGGUGUGAAUUGUUGAUAAAUGCAAUCAAUUUUGGAUUUGGAUGGAAAAAUGGAAAGUUAGGGUUCAUAAUCCCCUAAUUCUGUCCGGUUUUAGAUCAUAGGGUUAGAGGCCGAAUUGGACUUUGCUCAAAACAUGAAAGUUGUAGGUAUUGAUGUGUUUGAGGUGCCUGUAAAAUUUCAGGUCAUUUGGAUUAGUGUAGAGUGAGUUAUGUCGGCAUUACUGUAGCUGUUCUGCUUUGGUCAGAAUGCGAAAACUGCGUUGGUAUUUGGCUAUUUUGGCUGGAAUCACUUUGGAUUUGGAUGUUGGUGUCUUCUGAUGAAAUGUAGCUGGAGGUCUUAGCUAUCAUAUGCCUUUGGAAUUUCGGCAUUUGGACUUGUAUAGACUGAGUUAUACCGAUUACAGUUUUGUGUGUUUUGCAAACCUGUUUUGGUAAUUCUGGUUUAGUAUUUUGCAUAUUUGACCUAGUUGUGUUAGGAUUUGGACCGAGUGACCUUCUACAGUGUUGUAGCCCCUUAAGUCUUGGAUAUCCCUGUAAAUUUUCAGGUUAAACGGAUUAGUAUAUCCUGAGCUAUAAACGAAAUACUCAGACCUGUUUUGACCAGCAAAUUCUGUUACGUUUUUGGAAAGUUUACGACUGGAACUUUGGCUUCACAUUUGACUGGGUUACAAGCUGUUUGGGCUUGUGACCAAAACACCAAACUUAUAGCCUUAUAUCAGAGCUUUCCAACGCCCUUAGAAUUUCAUAAAUCGGAUUUAUAAAACCUGAGAUAUAGCCGAGCAAACAAGGCCUGCCCGUGAAAAUGACCAUUUUCUGGUCAGAUCUGUUUUGGUCCUGAUGACCAAUUUCCGUUCCGAAUUUGGAUUUCCGACCUUCAUGAAAGUUGUUCCAUUUGGAAUGAACUAUCUAACUGCCAAUUUUCAGCUCUUUUGACCAUGUGUAGCAUAGAAAACAGUUCGCACUCAAAACUGACCAUUUGUGCAUUGGCCAGAUUUCGUAAGUGAUUGUGUUUGGCUCAUUUGGGACUGAAGCCUCCAGUUUCAGUUCUGGAUGUCUUCAUAACAUUUGUUGUUCAUCCUUUAAGCUUCGAUAUGGCAUCUCAUACGCCUUAAUCCGAUAUUCGUAGCUCAACUUAUGAGUAAACUAGAAAUGAGUGUCAAAUCUGCCGUUUCCGCUAACGGCCGUUUCCGUUUCCGUCCGUCUUAUUUACGUGCGCGCGUGUCGUUUUUGCCGUUUUGCUUGUUUUAGGCACGAUAGUAGCCGUUUGCGAUAUUAUGUGACACAAUCUUCUAUUUCAGACGGUGGUGAGUUGGGCGGAACUGGUGGGGCCCACUACUAGCUGUUCAUUUCGAUCCGAUUUCGUACUUUUGCUAUUUCAGUUUCUGAGUAAGUAUUCAGGCCAGUUUGAUGUGUUUUCUUGGCUAUGUGUUUGAGAUAUGUGAAAAGGGUACUUAGGCGAGGGUGUACUUUAUCGCACUCGACCUAAACCCUAAUUUGAAUGUAUAAUUGUACUUGGCAUAUGUAUAUGAACCUUUUGGAACCAAAACCCUUGAGCUUGUGGCUCGGGGCGACUUUCGAGUAAAGUUUGUGAAUUUUGUAAAGUUUGUGAGUUCGUGGGCCCGAUCUAAGACCUGUUUGGACUAUUCGAGCCGGUUAGGGCUUGGUCGAAAUCAGUCCAACUUAGUCUGAGGUCACCAAGUUUGUAGGUUCAUGUUGUGAACCAAUUUUGUGAAUCCGGUUCACCGAGAAGGUGACCAAGUUUGUGACCCGAGCUUGUGACUCAAGCUCAAGUUUGUGAUUUCGUUCGCCCGGGCAAGUUUGUGAGGUGACUGGCCAGUGAGGGUGAAAAGGUGUCGGUGGGUGUACAAGUGAAGUUCUACGGACCAUUAAGUGUGGUCGACGGAGUGUCGGCAGGAGUUCACGCAUGGCAUAUGAAUUGGCUUUGGAGCCACCUGUAUCCUUAUUAUGUGAUGUUACUUUUCUGCUUUUGCUUUACUCUUACUGUGUAACUGUUAUUACGUGAAAUUUACGCUUUCGCCCCUGUUUACUUACUAAGCAUAUAGCUUACCCCAUUCCUUUUGUUUUCCUUAGCAGGGGCCGACGUGGGGACUUUUGGCACACACAGUAGUAUAGUUAGGUUUUAUUGUAAUAGUUGGACUUAUAGUAUGUUUGUUUUUGUUUUAGUUUUGGUGGUUUGUAUAAGGACCCUCCUUAGGGUCUACAUUUUGGUUUUGGUGGUAAUUAUAAGGAUGUAAUAGUGUGAGCAGGUACUUUUGAGAAUGUAAUUAUAACUCUUUUGGGUUUGUAUAUAGAACUCUUUUGAAGUUUCUGGCUUUUAUUAUUUUAGGUUUUGAGUCCUGGCGCGAGCUAGGCAGGCGGCCCACCGAUACCCUUGGGUUCGCCCUUGGGAGAAAUGGGGUCGUCACAUGAGAACUUGCAAAAUUCUUCAUAUUUCCUUAAAAAUUCCCUUUUAUUUUGAAUCAAUUACUUUAUCAUAGCUUUACUACUCAUUUACUCCCUCAAUAGUUGGAAUAAAGAAUAGAAUUAAGAGUUUUUCCUUUACUUUUAUAGUUAGGAUAAACUAAGGUUUUUGUGUAUUUUAGUGGUAUGAUUAAUCGGUAAGGAGUGUGUACUAAAUUUGGUGGUUAAGAGUGAGUUUUAUAUAAGAGAAAGUAUGUAUUUAUAAGUGCUAAUAAUAAGUUAGUGAAUCAUAAGUUAAAAUACUAGUACGCGCGAAUUAGGAAAAAACGGCUUGAACCGACGCGCACCGUUUGCUACUGAUUGAGUGCACCAAUUGAACACUGCUUUAUUACCUUAAUUUAUUUGUUCUUACUUGAGCAAAAUCAGCCCUAAAUAUCUCCUUAUACCAGCCAAAAUUUUGGACUAAAAAACAAGAGAGAAAAGAAAAAAUUUGACCUCAAAUCAAAGUGUGACAGUUGUCGGAAAUUUAGUAUACUUGGAAUAAACAAAUUUCCUUCCUUCUUAUCACUAAAUUGGUUUCAUUUCUCCUUCAUUUCUUUCUUGUUGGCCGAGAGUGAGAGGAGAAAAAAGAAAGAGGAAAGUUAGCAACUCCAACCUUGAAUCCAUCUUUGUUUGAGUAAAAUCAACCAAACCAAACCGAUUAAACUUGUCUUUUGGUGUUUGGAAAACUUUGUGUGGUGAAAUUUUUGGAAGAGAGUGGUUUGCUUUUCACUUUCAAGAAGCUUUUGGAAGGUAUAAAUAUUGAACUUCCUUUUCUCUUGCUUCAUCUUGUUAAUUUGGUAUAGAAGCUUCUACUCUUGGAUUGCUACGGUUAAUUAUUUAGUUUUUUACGGUGUAGUGGAAAGUUUAGCUAGGGUUUGCAUCUUUUCAAUUUUGAUUAGUGUUGUUUAACUAGUAAAUGAUGCUAUUAAGGUUGGAAAUGGAACUUGUGAAGUGAUUUUGGGCUUGAGUGUAGCUUUGUUAGAGUAAAAGCUGAAUUCCAGCAUUUGGUUGUGAUUCUGCCCUGUUUUUGGAACCAAUCUGACCUGCAUGUUCGUCCAUGAUAAAGGCCAAAUCAGUUCUUGCUCAAAACAUGAAUGUUGUAGGGAAUUGAGUUAGCUUUCUACCCAGAAAACUUCAGCUCAAUCAGAACGCUGUAUCUUGUGAAAUGACUAAAAUACUCCUAACUGCCCAAAUGCCUUAUUUAACCAACAGCUUUUUGUUUUCUCUGAGAUGUCAAAUUUUGACCCUGAAAAUGCGAGAACUAGAAGUCGAUGUCUUCAUAGGAAAUGUAGUUCUAUGUCUUAGCUUCAAAAAACCAUAAAAUUUACCUUGAUUCGAUAGACCUAGCUUCAGUUAUGACCAAAAUACCAAAGGAUGACAAAUCUGCCACUUAGACAUUCUUCUUUAAUACUAGUUUCUAGCUUUGGUCUUGAUGACUGUAUUGCUAGAAUUGACUUGUAUUUGGAUGAUAUUGAGCCUAAUUGAAUAGCUAUUUUGUUAAGCUUGCUUAUGUGUUAAAUUUGGGCUGAGUUGAGGAAAAUAAUAAAGCCAUAAAUGGCUGGUAAAUAGCGAAAUACAAAGGGCAUGCCGCCCAAAUUUUCGCUCAAGGGUUAGACGCGUGAACUUGAGACUUAAGUGACAAUUUGAAGUCGAAGUGAAUUUGGAUUGUCUAUGGUAGUCAAGUUACUAUUAGUAAAGCUAUAUGAGCUAAAUUUGGCCAAAACUCGCACCCCUUAAAAGGUGAAGGUAGCGACCAAUAGAAAUACGUUUUCCUCGUCUUCUAGACUCAAAUGCGAAUUCCAAAGUUUUAAUUGCUUCUUUAGCAACACCAAAAGAGCGGCAUGAAUUUUCUAGAGUUUGAUAAGUAACAUGAAUACUACCUAAAUGAGUUUCAGUUACUUGAUUUUCUUUAAGCGAAACUCUUAAGUUUCAAACCCUAGUUGAUUUCAAAUUCUUAAAUGAUGUUUUAUCACACAUUUGGAUUCCAAACAAGGAGUUGUACCUGAAUGUGAUCCUAAGAAGCACUAAGUUUUUGGUGAGUACUUCCAAAUACCUGAUUGAACUUGACACUUGUUUUAAAUGCUUGAUCAACGUGGUCAGAUGAUAUUUGAUUAGUUUGGUCGGGUAAGGGUGUACUUUAUCGCACUUGCCCUAAUGUGAUAUAUUCUUGUUCAUUGGUUACAAUUGACUUGAUAUACAUGCAUAUGAUUCAUAUCUUGUCUGGAAUUCCAAAAACCCUGUGGCUAUUAAUCGAGUCGAGCCAGCAGCAAGAGCCUGGUCGAUUAGAUAACGAACCCUGGUAUCUAGUAUUGUCGAGUGGAGUGAUAUCUCCUUGACUAAUCGGUUAUCUGAACGUUCGGGCCCGGUAAGGGGGUUGAAUGGUUGAUGGAGAUUGGUGUUAAGUAGGGCACUACUGGACUAAUUAUGUGAGGACCUGAAAAUUUUCUUAUUUUUAUCAAAUGUUAUUGGUUUAUUUAAAUAUUUAUUCACCGUUUUAUCUGAAUAAUUUAUUUCAACCAUUUUAAACCCAUUCAUAUGGAGCAAUGUCUUCCUUAUGUUUUUAAAACGUCCCGUUAGUAAAUUUAAUUUUUCGGAGGUUCAUUUAAGUGAGGAAUAAUGAGUACAUGUGUUUCGAGGCGAUAUUCUAUCCGAGAGUGCAAUUAUCUUGGAGAAUUAAGAAUGAUCAAUAGUAGAUUAAGAAAAGUUAAUUGAGAAAUUAGAGGUCAAUGAGUUCUGAUUAAACUUAUACCGUGUUCGCACCGAAAGUUUUCGAAUAUCACACCGCCGACAAAUUGGAGGCUUGAGAAAUCAAUAUGUGUGAGUACUCAUGGUUUUAUCUCUGAAAUAGUUAUUUUUAUGAUUAAUUACUCAAGUAUUAGUUAGUUAUACUAUCAUUACAAGAAUUUCUUAGAAAUUUCGCUUUAUCGCGCACAAGUCGGAAGUUCGCGUUUUCGCGCGUGCGUGACUAAUUGGGACUUUGGACAUUCAUUUUUAGACUAUUAAGAGUGACUAAUAAUAGUGAUAAAGAAAGUGUAUUGGAGGUUUAGUGCAUAAGUUAAACAAACCCGAGAGAAAACAGGCACGAAACACGCGCAUACGCGCACUAGUAAGAGUUGACUUUUGUGCCCAAAAAGGCCACCAACCACCAAGCUUCCUCAAGAAGCCACGCAACACUCUCCACUCUCUCUUCUCUCUCUCUUGCUGGUCAGCCAACCCAAGGAAGAAGAAGAAGGAAACUUCAUCUCAUUUCACUCCAUUUCUUCCAUCAAAUUCACUCCAAAUUCACUACACAAACCCACAACAACUUGAAGCUUCACUUGGGCUAGGAAAAGUGCAUUACUUCCAUGGUUUCUUGGAGUUUCUUAGUGACCGAAAUUUCUGAGUUUCAACACCCAAGAGGUAGUGCAUGAUCUAACCUUCUAAACUUGAUUUUUAUGAGUUAGAUUGGACCUGGAAGCUUGUAGCUUAAUGUGGGUAACUUUGGUUGGUUGAAAAUCACUUGAGUGGACUCUAUGAAAUCCCAAAAUGGAUUUGUUGGACUGAUAUGAUGAUUUUGGAUGUUAUUUAUGUUGAUUAAGUGUUAAACUAGUGAUUAUAAGUUGAAAAAGUGGAAAGAAACUCAAAGGAAACCAAAAGGAAAAAGGGGCGGAUUCUGCCCUGCUUGUGCAGAGGCCUUGGUUCAAUUUUUUGUGGUUAAAUUGCCUUGAUUUUGAUGUAUAUAUAUUGUAUAGUUGCAUGGAAAUUUUCCACCAAAAAUCACUUAAUUUGGUUGGGUAAAAGUUGCAUUUUCGAAACAUGUUCAAACCUGGAAAACUUGUACAGAGGUACUCUAGCAGUGAACUUUAAACGAUCAUAACUCUUUGCUCCGACUUCGAAAUCAAGUUCCGUUUGUAGUAUUUGAAACUAGAAACUUUCAGUUUUCUAAUGGUAUAAAAUUCAUCCCCUGAUUCGACUUGAGUGAGCCGUAUCAAUUCUUCAAAAUUACCUGUCCUGUUUUGUUACUCUACUAGAGAGUCAAUGAGGUGCUGGGACUUGUUGCUUGAAUUCGAGCUAGCUAUGAUCUAAAUUUCAAAACAAUUUCUUCUGAUGAUUUGUAAACUUAUGAAUGUAUUUUCCAAAUCCACCAACCAUGAUCAAUUCCAAGUUGAAUUGACUGAGUUAUGGUCAAAUUACAGAAUUGUGUCAGUUAUUGAAAACCCUAAUUUUGGCUAGCGAAUGGCUUACCUCGAAUUGGGACUUGUUAUUUUGACACUUUUGGUGUUAAUCACCUAUCAAAUGUAUGUUGGAGGUUUCUUAGACUUUUCUUCAUAAAUUAACCAUGUUUGAGUUGAUUUCAUUGGCCAAAGGUUCGAAAUAAGGGAAACGGAAGCAUAAGGCAGAAUUGCCAUGGAAAUUCCUAGAACUUUAGUGGUCUUGUUAAUAGACUUUCCGUAUGAAUUUUUACAUGAAAUUUGAUAGAGAAGUAGCCCUUAUAUGGUAGUGUAAUCAUACUAAAUUAGGUGCCAUUCCAAGUCUAUUUCGAUGCCCAACUGAAGUCCCAAAGUUCAAGUUUCAAAUCUGGAAAAUUGCCCAAUGGUCUUCAUUUUGAACCAACUUUGAGCCGCUAUAUCUUGGCGCUCAAAACUCCAAUUCAUGUUCUGUGCACUGCAUUUUAAACUUUGAUUGUAACUCUAAUUGAGUUUCAAAUUUGAGAGGCUAGUUCGCAUUCUGUGAAUUUUGCCAAAUUUCCAAAAUUUGCCAAAGACCAACCCUGAAUCUGUCUUGGGAGUCCAAAUCAGAAACUUUAAGCCGAAAUUUGAGUAUCUUCCUUUUUGAAUCAUGGAAAAGUGUCUUCUAGGAACUUUUAGUACUUUGGAAGUAGUUUCCAACGGUACCAGGUUUCCAAUUUUGGACCUACAGAGAGUGAGAUAUGAUUUUUCAAAGAUCGCACCUCAAAUCUGAAAUUUCUAAACUUAAAGGAAAUUGAGUUUUUAGAACUCUCCAUUUUCCUUCAAUAUUGGGUGAUCGUUUUACAUUUGAUUUCAAAGAUGAAAAUCAGAUUUUUCUUUUAUUAUUAAACCCCACUUUUGAGCCUCGAUUUAUGAGAAAUUAAGGCUCAUUCUCAUGAUAUUCUCUAAGAUUGUACAAGUGUGCAAUCUUCCUUGAUAAUUGGUGUUUUAAGUGAUAGUGAGUGAUAGUUAAUUAUUGUUUGCACAGGCACUCGAGGAGACCUUCAAGAGGACCUCACAACGGACGCUUAAGUACAUGAAUUGUGCAACACACUCUCCUUUUUACUAGGUGAGUGUCAAGUGUAUGUGAAUUGUUACGUGCUUAAUUGUUAUUAGUGAUUGGAAAUUUUGAAAAAUUGAGUCGAAUGUGUACUUUACUGCACUCGUUCUCAUUUGAAUGAAAUGAAUGAAUCAUAAUUGAAUUGAUUGAAAUGAAAUGAAUGGACCAAAAUAUAUUGAAUGGAUUGAAUGAAAUGAAAUGAUAUGCUAUGACUGCAUACGUCGUUGGUGUGAAUGUCCUCGACUCAUAAAUGUUAAAUGGGGGACGCCCAAACUCAUAGGCCGACCCUGGGACUAGAGUCGGCAUAGGCUUGGUCGAGAACCUUGGUGAGCCAUGAGAAUAACAUGAUAAGCUUGAUCUAUUGGAGAGAUCUCGCUUGGCAUACUCGUAUAGUAUCGCCUUAUAAACGAAGUUCAGGCCCGGUGCGGUGUAUGGUGGACGGAAAUGAGAAGUAAAUGGAGUACUACGGAUUUGAAAUACUGACCCGGUUGAUGGAGCGUCAUCACAGGAAGGUAUACGAUUGAGGUUUGGCACAGCAAGUGGGACUUAGCUCCUGAGAGCUCUUAUAUCCUUGAAUUGUUUCUGUUUACUUUUCUCGCCCGAAUUGUUAUUUACUUAAAUAUUAUGGUUUUACUUGUUAAAUGGGAUUGUUGCUUGGACAACAUGCUUGCAUGUGUGUUCUUGGCCUCACGAGCAAUUGCUCCUCCGGUAGAUUUGUUUUCCUUAACAGGAACGGACACGGAGUGAAACUCGGAGAAACCUUUGGGAUGAACUUUUGUACUAGGGUUUCGAAUGUAACCGACUAGACGUCUUUUGGGAGUUCUAUAUUUUGGAAAAGUUGAUGUAUUUUGAAUUUGUGGUUUAAGCUCGGAUAUUAUUUAUGGAAGCAACUUCACUUUCUUACUUUGUCUUGUCAUAUUAGCUAUUACUGUAUUAAGGUUGAACGGGAAUUGUAUCGAGUCCUGGCGAGAGUUGGGCAGGCGUCCCGCGGAUACCCUUUGGUUUGCCUUAGCGAGAAGUGGGGGGCAUCCCAGAUUACUUUACUUGAAAGUUGACGAGGUGUCAACUACUCUUUGAUCAAGCUAUGGCGGAGCUAUUUUGCAAUAGCGGUUGUAUCCUUUUACUUGACACGUUCAAUAUCCAGUGAUUGGCAUUACGAAGUGUUAUUACUCAUUUUCUUGACUUGAUAUACUCGCUACUUUUCUAUUUUGAUACUUUCACUUUUAAUUAAUGGUCAACUUGCUAUUUGGAAUCUCACUAAGCUUUACCUCACUCUAUUAGAUUUGUUUUACUUACUGGGGGUACGAGCGAGGCGUGAAACUGGUAUAUGCUAGCAAAGUCUAGUUUUUGAAAAUUUUGCGGUUGUACUCGCACUAGUCGCUCAAUUAGGUUGGAUGUAUUUAGAACUUUAAUCAUUUGAUAUAUUUGGGAUUGUAUGGAUGAUUGAAAUAGAAAUGAAUGUACUUGUACGUUCCAAACUUGGGAACUGUUAUUUCUUUUACUCUUGAGAUUGCAACCUAUUUUCUUGAAGUGAGUGAGCGAGUCCUAGCGAGAGCUGAGCAGACGGUCUGCUAAACCCUGGGGUAAGUCAUAGGGGGAGGUGGGAUCGUCACAAAGCUUGCAACUCCAACCUUGAAUCAAGCCUUGUUUGAGUGAAAUCAACAAAACUAAACCGAUUAAAAUUACCUCUUGGUGCUUGGAAAGCUUGGUGUGGUGAAAUUUUUGGAAGAUAGUGGUUUGUUUUUCACUUGCAAGAAGUUUUAGGCAGGUAAAAGUCUUGAACUUCCUUUUCUCUUGCUUAAUCUUGCUAAAUUUGGUAUAGAAGCUUUCAAUCUUGGCUUGCUAUGGUUGAUUUCCUAGUUUUUUAUGGUGUAGUAGAAUUUUCAGCUAGGGUUUACAUUUUUCAGUUUUGAUUAGUGUUGUUUAACUAGUAAAUGAUGUUAUUGAGCUUGGAAAUGGAACUUGUGAAGUGAUUAUGGGCUUGAGUGUGACUUUGUAGAGUCAAAAGUUGAAUUUCCAGCAUUUGGUGGUGAAAUUUCAGUUCUGCCCUGUUUCUGGACUCAACUUUGGGCUACGAAUUUCUCUAUGUUUUUUAUUGAAUCAGCUUUUAGACAAAACAUGAAAGUUAUAGGGAUUUGAGUGAAAUUUCUACUUGAAAAAUAUCAGAUCAAUUGGAUCAUUGUAGCUUAGGAUUUGACCAGAGCACUUCUGACUACACAAAAACUCUAAUAUUCCUGACUUGUUUUCAUGUGUGUCUGACCAUUUACUUUUGACCCUGAAAAUGCAAGAAUUGGAUGUUGAUGUCUCCAUAGGAAAUGUAGGUCUAUGUCUUAGCUUAGAAAUGCCAUAAAAUUUAUCUUGAUCUGAUAUACCUAGCUACAGUUACGACCAAAACACCAAAGGAUGACAAAACUGCCAUUUAUCAGUUCUUCUAUAAACUGGUUUCCAGCUUUGGUCCAUGGUGAUAAGUUAUUAUUUGGUUUGUUUGGUUGGUUUUGAGGCCUUGAAUAGUUGAAUAUUGUUGGUUAUCACUUGUGGUUGGAUUGGAGGGUUGUUGGCCUAUGAAUCCAAGUUGUACUUGGAUGGGAAAAGUAAGAAAAUAGGGGAAAAUGCUGCCCAAAUUUCUAUUACUUGCUCUUAUGAAUAUUUGCGAGAUGUAAGGUUUGAUUUAGGGUUAGUUGGAUCUUAAGUUAAAUAUGUAUCCUUGAAUGCACUUCAAUAGUAGUAUAUGAGUUGUUUUUUACCAAGAUUUGGUAUCAACUAAGAUGAAAAGUGUUAGUUUUAUCUCGAAAACUUUGAAUUACAUUUGGUCGGGCGGCUAGUGACCCUGGGAUAGUGUUUUGGUAUACUCGAGUAUGACCACGAAGGUUGGUGGAGAACUGGCCAGUGAAUUGGCUAGUGGCGGGAAAUGAAAUCAAUGAAUGAAUGUCAAGAACACUGGAGGAGUUUUCACUUGCAAAUGUUUUUCUAAUAAUUGGAGGGAUAAGGAAAAUGGUUGGCGAAUGAAUGAACGAAUGGCUCUACAUGAGCAUGUAUUCUUUUUAGGAGUGUGCUCUCAUUGCUUUUAUAUUGUGAAUGUUUUCUCGAUUAAUUGUUCUUCAAUGAAUAAUGUCCUUGUUUAAAUUGCUUGAUUACUUGUUUGGGAACCUCACUGGGCUUUUAGCUUAUUCCUUUAGUUUUUGUUUUCCUUACAGGGGAUACGAGCGAGGGAGUGAGACUGGUACAGACUAGCAUAGUCUAGCUUUUGAAUUUUUGCGAUUGUACUCGCGCUAGUGCUCGGUUAGGGUUGAAUGUAUCUGGAAUUCACGACUUUUAUUAUAUUUGGGAUUGUAUGAAUGUUUGAGACAGAAAUGAAUGUAGGUAUACAUUCCAAGUUUGGGAACUGUUAUUUCACAUAUUUUUGAGGUUAUACCUUAUUUUAUUUGAAGAGAGUGAUCGAGUCCUGGCGAGAGUUGGGCAGGCGGUUUGCCGAACCCUGGAGUACAUCCUAGGAGGAGGUGGAGUCAUCACAAAUGCUAUACACGAUCCAAGUUCAAUUCAACCUCAAAUCUUCGCUCAAGUUGCGAAUACAUAUGCCUAACCCUCGAGUAAAAAUUUGGGCAGUAUGCCCUUUGUAUUUAGCUAUUUUCCAGCCACUUAUGGCUUCAUUUUUUUUUUCCUCAACUCAGCCCGAUUCAACACAUAAGCAAGAUUAACAAAAUACCUCUUUAACUAGGCUCAAUAUCAUCCAAAUACAGGUCAAUUCUAGCAAUGCAACCAUCAAAAUCAAAGCUAGAAACUAGUUUUAAAGAAGAAUGUCUAAGUGGUAGAUUUGUCAUCUUUCAGUGUUUUGGUCAUAACUGCAGCUUGGUAUAUCAGAUUGAGGUAAAUUUUAUGGCAUUUUCAAGCUAAGACAUAUACCUACAUUUCCUAUGAAGAUAUCAACACCCAGUUUUCACAUUUUUGGGGUCAAAAAUUGAAAUCUCAGAGAAAAUAGAAAACUGUCUGUUAAACAGGGCAUUUGGGCAGUCAGGGGUAUUUAAGUCAUUUCACAAGCUACAAUGCUCUGAUUGAUCUGAAAUUUUGCAGUCAGGAAGCUAACUCAACUCCUACAACUUUAUUUUUUGAGAAAGAACUGAUUUGGCCUUUAUCAUGGACGAAUAUGCAGUUCCAGUUGGAUCCAAAAACAGGGCAUAAUCACUACCAAAUGCUAGAAAUUCAACUUUUACUCUAACAUGUCACAACCAAGCCAUUAAUCACUUCACCAAAUCCAUAUCCUAACUCAAUAACAUCACUUACUCGGUAAACAACAAUAAUCAAGACUGAAAAAUGCAAACCCUAGCUAAACAUUUCACUAUACCAUCAAAAACUAAACAAUUAACCAUAACAAGCCAAGAGUAAAAGAUUCUGUACCAAAUUUAAGAUUAAGCAAGAGAAAAGAAAGUGUUAGCCUUAUACCUUCCAAAAGCUUCUUGCAAGUGAAAAACAACCCACUAUCUUCCAAAAAUUGCACCACACCAAACUUUUGGAAUCAAGGUCUUAAGGAGGAGCAACAAUGCUACAAUGCAAAGAAAAUGAUUGGUUGUACAAAAAUUGAUUCAAAUUGGGGCAAUUUUUGAAAUGAUUUUUCAGGUAAGCAUUCAAGAACUUUUUCAUGCAAUAACGUGUUUUUCUAUCACCGUUAGCAUCGAGUUUAUCUCACUAAUGUGUGUUUUUCUAUCACCGUUAGCAUCGAGUUUAUCUCAAUAACGUAUGUUUUUCUAUCACCGUUAACAUCAAGUUUAUCUCACUAACGUGUUUUUUCUUUUACCAUUAGCAUCGAGUUUAUCUUACUAACGUGUUUUUUCUAUCACCGUUAGCAUCGAAUUUAUCUCUCUAACUCGUUUUUUCUAUCAUCGUUAACAUCGAGUUUAUCUCACUAAAGUUUUUUUUAUCACUGUUAGUAUCGGGUUCCUCCCACUAACGUCUCUUCCUACUUCCAUCAGGCUAGGUUUUUAUCACACUGACCUUUAUAUGUUUACAGGUUUCAACUCACUACAGAAUAACGACAGAUAAGUAUUUUGUGUUUAUGUCUUUAUCUCGAGUCUCUUCGAAACUCAGACAAAGAGGGGCAAGCUGUAGACACCAAUAUUUCAAUUUUUAUCUAAUUCAAUUUUAGCUUUAUUUUUUUAUUAUUUAUUCUUUUAUUUUAAUUUAAUUUUAUUUUAUUUUAAUUGAUUAAAUGACAGUUAGUGUUUAUUUUUGUAAAUUAGGUUUAUCAUUUUCAUUUUUAAGGUAUUUUGCAUUAAGUUUCUAGAAAAGGAAAAUUUCUCGCAAAAGUUCAAAAUUUGUCUUUAAUCCUUUUAGAUUCAUUUUUUUAAAAUAAAUGAAAAUUGUGCAACGCAUUUGCAAUUAGGAAUUAACAUUUUAUUUUUUUGUUUACCUAAAUUAUUUUUGGAAUAUAUAAUAAAUAAAUAAAAUAAGAAGAUAAGUGUAAUAGGGGAUUAUUAGACAAGUAUAUUAGGGGGAUAGUAGCCAAGUGGAAGCCAUGCGAGAUGGUUAGGUGUGAUGGAUAGGCUUUAGAUAAAUGUCCUUAUUAUUUGAUGAGUAGGAUGACACUUGUUGAUUGAGGGGAUUUUUGGGAGGAAAAACAAAAAAGAGGAAAAAGAAAACUAGCUACAGGAAAACCAAGGGAAAAAGGGCAAAAGGCAAAGGGGCUGAGGGAAGAAUGGGGUUGUAGGGAGCUACGAAAAAAUCAGAAAAAGGAAAGGGAGAGAGGGAUGGAGAGGAGAAGUUAACGGCUGAGUCGUCUAGGGAGAAAAAAGGGUUCGGCCGAGGGAGUAAGAGAGCUUCGGGGAGAGCUUGCGGAAAAAAUUGGGAGAGCUUCGAGAGAGGGGUUGAACAAAGGGGGAAAAAUCUGAAAGACAAGGAGCAGAGGAAGAACUGGAGCUGCUACCACCUCGUUGGAAUCUCCCACUACCGCCUGUGAAUUUUCACCGUGACCACCAUAAGUUAUCCCUUUCCUUUGCAUUUCAGUCUUCCUUGAAGCACAGGCUUUGGAAGCUUUCAGAGCAUGUGUGCCGUGCCUUUAUUUAUUGCAAUUUUCCUGUUGGUUGUUCAUGAUUUUAGAUUGUACAUGCCUUAUGUGUCAAUUGGACCGAAGUACUUUGUUUUCUGAACAAUUUUGGGGCUGAUUAUAACCUCAAUUGAGCAAAAAUUCGGUGUAAUUUUAAUGUCCAUUUGCUGCUUGAUGAAAUGCUUGAUUGAAAGUUCUAAUUGAAAGAUGAUUUGUCUGCAUUUUUGCGUAUGAAGAAACUGGAUAAGUCAGCGAGCUCAUUUCCUUGCGUUUGAGAAAUUUUGAUGUAUUGGUGUCUUGCACUUUUUCUGUUUUUCGUUUCCUUAUGCUUCCCUUUGUAUGAAUCCGAAUUAAUGUUAGGAGAGGGAGUUUUUUUUUGUGAAUUUCGUUGUCUGAUGGGAAUGGCUAGAGUUGAAACUGAUUUUUGGUAUUGCUCUUAUUGCAAAAAGGACGAAAAUGGCGGAUUGAUGUCUAAUCUGUUUGGAGAAGACGACCGUUUGUUUAAAUUCAUAAUUGCGGUCCCUCUAUUUUCUUUUGUUUGUGAUUUAGCCCUAGAGUUUCGAAACUUCAUAAUUUACCCCCAAAAGCUAUUAUAAUUUUUUCAAUUAGGUCCCUGUUCCAGUUGUCUAUCUAAGCUCUGUAUCAAAAUUUUCAAAAAUUUUGUAGUUUAACCCCUCAAUUUUUUCUUAAUUAUAUGAGGACCCUCAAAACUUUAGUUUUCUUUUGAUUAGGUCCUUAUUUUAAUUGUAAUUUGGUCCUUUUAUUUUAGUUUUCUUUAAUUUUAACCCUAACAUUUGUAAUAAUAGGGAUUGACCCCUAAAACUUGUUAAUUAUUUCAAUUAUGCCCUUACUUGUUUUAAAUUCCUUGAAUAUGGGUUGUUAUUCUUAUGCAAAUAUUUUAAUUGAUUCAAUUUCGUGUUUAUUUUUCAUUUCAUGUGAUUAUUUGUUAAUUAAAGUGAUGCCUUGACCGUUUUCUUUGUUUUGGAGGGUAAAUAAGAAAAAUUUCAUUUCUUUAGGUCACCAAUUCAAGGGAGGUACACUCUAUUCCUUUAUGUUGAUUUUAUUUGAUCCUAUGUGCUACUACGUGAUUUUAUGUGUAUAAUUGAAUGCCUUUUUUGGAAUUUUAUUUAUUUUAUUUUAUUUUAUUUCAUUUAUUUCUUUAUUCACUUCAUUUGUUUUUAUUUUGUAUAUUUAUUUUAAUUUAAUUUUGGGUUAUUUGAGAGGCAUUUAAAUGCCAAAUUGUUAUAGUUAGAUUAUUAUUUAUUUCAUUUCAUUCUUUACCCCUCUAAAUUGUAGUUAGGGCCCCCAAAUGUAAUAAUUAGGGCUUUUUUUUGCUUUUUUUGCUUUGUGUAUUUUGCAUGCUUGUGUGUUUACGUGUUACUCGCUUUCUUAGGGUCUUGCAUCUAGAUAUCAUACUUAUGUGCUAUAUGUGAUUUAUGUGUUUAUUUGUUUUAUUAUGUUUUACAUGAUUUAUUUGAUUGUAAUAAAUGCAUGACAUCACCAUACUAGUCAAACGCAAGUUGUGGCCCCCUUUUUCCGAUUCCACACUAGUCCAACGCUAGUUGUGGCCCUCCUUUUUAAUUUCUCACUAGUCUAAUGUUAGUGGGAACUUAUAGACAUCGGCUAAUCCAACGCUAGACCCUUAGGGACCAUCCACGCGCUAAAUCAUGUUUGUGUGAUAAUCACUACAUUUUCAUGCAUAUUUUUUACUUUAAGGGCUUUUUCCAUUUUUGCAUGAUAUUUUCCCUACAUGUAUAGCCCUUAUGUGACGCCCCGAAAAGUAUGAGUAUGAGAAUCCGAAAAUUUUUUUUAAUAUAUUUUCUAGACGUUAUUUUGUUUCCUUGUCUAUAAUUUUGUACCUUUCUUCAAUAUAUUCAUUUCUUAUACAUUUUUAUAAGGAAAUAUAGUUUUCAAAUCAUUUCCUUGAUACAAGUUAGUCCACAUUAAGUUUGAAGUGUAUUAUGGAUGUGGGACCCGCUAGUGCGGUAAAUGUGGUAUAUUUUUGACAACUCAUUGGAGUUAAUUGUAAAGAUUAAAAGAAGUUUGGGCCAUAGUGUGACUUUGGUUGAUUACAAGUUGCUAGACUUCCUAAAGGUUCCAUGAUAUUCCUAAGCUUAAUUUUCAUUGGCUAAUAAAAAAGGUAGUGGACUUUGACCAAGGGACUUAGUUAAUAUCUUCUUAGCAAGACUAAAGGCCAAAACAACAAGGAGAAUUUCAGCCAGCUCUAGGGAGAAAAGAGGGGAGAAAAACCAAGAGAAAAUAAGAGAAAGAACAAGAAAAAAUUCUGGUUUUGUGCAACCCAUCCAACAAGCUUGGGAGUUGGAGCAAAAGAAAGCUAAUGAACUUGGUUCUUGAAGUGCAGCAUUGUAAACCCACCUUUGGAAGGUAAAGCAGCCUUGAACUCUUGUAAAAGCUUAUAGCAAUUGGGUAGAAAUGUUGUUUUUGAUGUUGUAAGAUGCUAAUAAGGGUUAAUGAUGGUUUAUAUAUCACUUUUGUGGGUUUGUGUGGAAGAUUUGGUGAUUUCUAUGGUUGUUGAGAAAAUUCCAGAAUUGAGAUUUCUUAUGGUUCAGUUCUGCCCAUUUCUGUUUGACCAGGAUAGAGGCCGAAUUGGCCUUAGCACAAAACAUAAAAGUUGUAGAUAAUGAUGUUUUCUAGUCACCUGUAAAUUUUCAGCUCAAUCUGAGCUCGGAAGCCUGUGAAAAGACCGAAAUACCCCUGCUACCCUGUUUCUGUCCGAAACUGAUAAUCAGCUUUGGUAAUUGGUUAGUUUGACUGGGAAUACUACUGAUUUAGUUGUUGAUGUCUUCUUAAGAAUUCUAGCCCUGUAUCUUAGCUUUCAAAUGUUUUGGAAUUACCUGAAUUGGAGUUGUGUGUGCUGAGAUAUGAGUGAAUAAAGCAAGACUGCUAGUUGAUUUCCGUAGUGAAUUUCGAACUGGAAAAUCUGGAGUUGUUUUGGAAAAUUUGACCUAGUUAGGGUGAGAACUGGACUAAGUGGUCUUCAUGAAAGUUAUAGGGAAUGAUAUUUUAGAGGUGCAUCCAAAAUUUCAGGUCAAUCGGAGUAGCGUAGCUUGAGAAAAGACGGAAUUACUAUUGCUGUUUUGGUUUUACCCGAAUGUAAGAAUUGCGCCUGUAAUUGGUUGUUUUGGUCAGGAUUGCUUCCGAAUUAGUUGUUAAGGCCUUCUGAUGAAAUUUAUUCAUGUUUCUUAGCUAUCAGCUGGUUUUGGAAUUUCUGGAUUUGGACUUGGAGAGACUGAGUUAUGAUGUUUCCGCUAGAAUGCGUUCUGUGAAUCCGUUUUUGUGAUUCUGGUGUAGUUUCUUGCAUUUUUUACCUGGUUACACUCAAAACUGGGUUGAGUGACCUUCUGGAAUAUUGUAGCCCUGUCUCUUAGCUUAGAAACGGUGGGUCUUUCACCUUCAUCCGACAAUCGUAGCGCCUUUGGCACCAUUACCGUAAAAUGACGUCCAAAACUGUUUUUCUGAUUUUGAGCUUAACUUUCAUUUCCGAACUUCUCCCUAGCUUGAAUUGUACUCGUAUUACUUGGAACUUGCUGAAUGGCUAUUGGAUGAACUUGUUGUUGUAUGUGUACCUUUGGGACUGGCUGAAGAUAUAAUGAAGCCAUGAUGGCUGGGAAAGUAAGCAAAUUUAGGGGAAGUGCUGUCCGAAGUUUUAAAGGAUUUGAUUGCAUUGAGUUUGUGAUCUAAGACUUGGAUUUCAGCAAGGCAAUGAUAUAUGAUGGAUGGUUUCUGAGCCAUGGAGGUGAGUGACCUCAAACUACUUCUAAAGUUAUUUAUGAACCGUUUCUUACAUUUUUUACUUUUGAACUGUUUCCAAAGUUACUUUUGAAAUGUUUUCUUGCAUAUCAUGUGUGCUGGCAUUUGAGUGUGCCUUGUUUGCUAUAUUUCUUGACUUCAUGACUUGUAUUUUGGUUGAUAACGUGUUAAGCGCUUAUAAUGAUUUCCAAAACGAGUUUUCGAGGCGAGUGUGUACUUUAUCGCACUCGACCUCGAUAAAUGUGAAAUUUUCAAUUGAAAUGUUACCUGCGCAUGAAUGUAAGCCUCUUGGGCUGAACUGGCCAUUGCCCCUUGUUACCGGUCGUCUUGAGCCAGAAGCGGACUCGGUCAGGCGAUUAGGAACUUGGGUGAACGUUUGGUAUACUCGAGUAUUACCUAUGUAGGUUGGUGGAGCCUGGCCAAAAGCCAGGGACGGGGUGAAUGAAAUGAAAUGAAUGACCAAAUGAGCGAGGACAUGUCAGGAGAAUGAAUGUAUCCUUUCAUGAAUGUUACUAUCGCUUUCCAUUGUAAAUGUUUCUUGAAUUAUCGAUAAUCCAUAUUUACUGUUUUGCAAAUGAUGUAGUUGUUUCCGGAUUUAUCAUUUAAUUUAUGACAUCAUUGCUAUAUGACAUCAUUGAAAUGAACUAUUGUGAAACCGAUUUGAUUAAUGAUUUUCUGGUUACUCGCUGAGCUUUUAGCUCACCCCAAAAACUAUUUUUUCCCCCUCCACAGGGCUCAAGGCAAAGGAAGGACUUGUAGUACUUAUUCACGUGUCUGGAUGGCUGAUAUCUUGUAUAGUUGGAUUUGGAAUCAUUUGAUGUAUAGUUGGAAAUUGUUUCCGCUUCGCUUGUGACAUAUAAUUAUUGGAGACUUGGAUGUGUAAUUGUGGGAACAUUUGAUGUACUAUUUGAGAUUUAUAUUGUAAUUCAUUUGAGGAUUGUAGUGAACGACUGAGUCCCGGCGAGAGCCGGGCAGGCGGCCCGCCGAACCCUCGGGUACGCCCUAGGGGGAGGUGGGGCCGUCACACCUUAUCCCAUAUUUUCAUAUGUAUAUAUAUAUAUAUAUAUAUAUUUCUUAUCCCCAUGUGCGAAACAUAACAUUUAGAUUUGCAUCUCAUUUAAGGAAAAUUAGGAGUAGAUUAGUACAUUUGCUUGAUUAAUUACCCCUUGAAUAUGGGAUAUAGACGAGUAUGGCUCUCUAACCUUAGCACGCUCGUAUUCCCUCUAUUAAAGGGAAAAUUAAAAUCACGAACCUAGCCCUCCGCACCCAUUAUGAUGCAUUCCCUCAGGUCACGUAUAUUUGUAAAUUAUUAUUUCUUUCUUUUUUCGAGUCUCAUUUGUUACAAACAUCGUGACCUCUUUAAAGAGUCACUUGUAGGCAUUGCAAUUAAUGCGAUUUGCACCAAUCAAACUUUGAAUAGAUAUUCCGACCCUUCCAAUAUACAUUAGGUCUAGGUUUGCAUUCAUAUAGUGACAUCCAAAUGUGAUAAAUUUUUAGAUUAAUUUAAGAAAACUUUUGACUAAAUCACGCAACUAGUCUUUGAUAGAUUGAAAGGGUGCCUUGGAUUUUAUCCUUGCCUUCCCUUUUUUCAAAUAUGACUCCCGACCCAUUUUCUCUUGAUUUUCGCAAACUUUGAGUCGUUUAAAACGGGUUUUCUUUACUUUUUAUUUUUAAUUCAUUUUAGGUGAUUUGGUACACCUUAACUCAAUACCAAGUGGCGACUCCUAUUUUUCAUUAAAAAUCCUUUUUAAACUAUUAUUUUGGGUCAAAUCGUCGCACUUUAAGUCCUAUUUUAGACCCAUUUCAUUUUCUUUAUUCAUUUUUCUAAUAAUCAAAAAUCAUUUUUCAAUUAAAAUUAAAUCCAAAUUCAUUUUCUAAUUAAAAAUUCAUUUUUCUCAAAAUUAAUCAACAAAUUCAUAAACACGUUAUUUUUUAAUUAAAAAAUAGGGCGCGACAGUUUGGCGACUCCACUGAGGACUUAGAGAGUCCGAGCAUUUGAUUUAGUCAAUUCUUUUUUCUUUUAACCUUUUAUAUAUCACAUUUGGAGGUUUAGGGUUGUAUUUUUCCUUUUUUUUUUAGGGUUUCUUGCGUUCACGCACGCAAUCGUUUCGAUUUCCAUCUUUGUGAUAAGUAAUGUGUUUAUUUUCUUUCAUUUACUUAUGUUUAUAUAUCGCGUUUGCAUCUUAGGGAAUGGGGGUAACUGCCCUAGAACCGUCAACCGCAUUUGAUGGUAUCUAAAUAAUCCCUCCCUUCAAAAUAGAUCAAUUCAUACGUGCAUACGCUCUACUUUAUAAACCCUCAUUUCUUUUUUACUUUUAUUGGUUGUCAUGCCACUCUUCCCUAUUUAGGAUUAGGAUUGAUCCACUUGGACAUGUGACCGUGGCACGACGUGCACGUAGCAAUAUCUGAGGGAUCACUCAAACCACCGAUUCUUAGGCUUUGGGAUUGAUGACCCUUUGCCUUUGGUCUGAAGGUUUGGGAGUCUAAAGCCUCAUCCAGUCUAGACACAUUAGUGAGCCCAACCUCACACAUCCAUAUUAGAAAUCGCCUAGGAUAGAGUCUGUUGACCUUGGUCCCUAGCUUUUAAUGAUUACAAAACAAAUGGAUGUUGCUAACAUCUCCUCAAAGGCUUUUUCAGAAAUGAAACAAAUCAGAUUCAAAGAUUAAGCACAGUUGAAAAAGACAGAGUAUGCUGAACCUGUCGGACGCUCAAGAAGACAGUACCGGACGUCCGAUAAUCAUUGCACAACUUCGGACGCAUGCUUCGGACGUCCGAUAGGAUUCUUCGAAGUCGACAAAAAUAUCGGACGCUGAAUAUGUCUCUACCGGAUGUCCGAUAGAAACAAGAUAAUUUCUCAAAUCUCUUUGUUUGCUGUCGGACGCACAAAAAGCUUGCACCGGACGUCCGAAAGAAUUGAAGAAAAUCUCUUAAACUCACUGCCUGCUGUUGGACGCAUAAAACAGGGCUAUCAAACGUCCGACACUCCAACGGCUAGUUGACUCUUCAGCUACUUUCUAUCCAUUGGAAACUUUAAUGAGGCACUUUCUUGAUCCUAUAUGAAUAGUUUUUAGUCAGAUACUUCAAACAACUUUUGCACACUGAAGAUACAAAAGAUCUAGAGAGAUUUUAGUGAGAAAAUACUCUUCAAGGAAGAUUUGUAGUCUUAGUGGUAUGAGGUUCUUUGUAAGCUUUUCAUUUGUGAGUGAAUACUUCAUAAGUGUAACUCUGUGAGGGUUAUCCUGAGGGAUAGUAAAACGUCCUGGCUUGACCGAGUGGAGUUUGGAGCAAGGAGGAGGUGAACCUUCCUUUGUACACAAGAGUGAUUGUAAUUCAUCAACUUGAAAUAGCUUGUUUGAAUUAACUUACAAGCUUGUAGACACCAAAUUUUUAGCGUAAUUUCAUUUACUAUUUAAUUCUUAGUUUUUAUUUGUCGUGUUAAGUUUUAUUCACUUUUUAGUUUUUAGUUUUUAUUUUAUUAUUUUUAUUUUAAACUUUCUAGCAUAAAAUUUCUCGAAAAAGGAAAAAAGAAGAAAGAAAAGCAUUCAAAAAUAUGAUUUAGUUGUUUGUGAUUUAAUUUCAAUGUUUUCUUGAAAAAAAAAAAAGAGAAAGAGGAAAAAUGAUGAUGGAAAAUAAAAUAAAAAGGAAAAUGGAAUUUGCACUUUGUUGUUUUUAGUUUAUUUAUUUUUAUCCAAUGUUAAUUAAGUUAUUUUUGUUAUUUAUUUUUAUUAUCAAUUUUGUUUUAAUUAAUCUCAAAAAAAAAAAAUACGCGACUUGCAAGCUGCGUAUUGUCGCAGCUUGCAAGGAAGGACUGGGCAGCUCCUUUAGUUGCAAUUUUGGGAAAGAUGGCUGGGAGUUUAGGGUUGAGGUCCUAUAUAAAUAGAAAAGAAGAAGCGCAGCUUUCGGGGGAAGUGUGGAGGAACGGCAAAAGAAAAAUCAGAAGAGAGAGUGACGGCUGAAAACUAAAAAGAAAAAAAAAUAGAGGAAGGAAAGGGAGGAGCUGGGGUUUCGGGAGUGAGGCUAGUGACGACUAAGGAAGCAGAAACCAGAAGGAUUGAAGGGAACAAUGAGAGGGCUACAGGUGGAGUGAAAUAGAAACGAGAGAGAGAGAGAAUUUUCUGGGCAAAGAAACCCAUCAUCGGGCUGACGGGGAGCCAGGUUCAGGGCAGAAUUUCGACCAAAUCUUCGGAUAGAAGGAUGUUAUUUCUGUUUCUGCAUCUUUCCUAGGCAUCAAGCAGCAAUUUUUGUUCAAGGAUCAUCCAUUAAAGGCACCUCCAACGCGGCCAAAUCUGAGCUCCAAGUUACAGAUCUUCCAACGCUGCAUAUCACUAUGGCAGAGUUCUUCUCGGCAGUUUAAAUCCGUGCGCCUUGCCUGGGGAAUUUUUGUGGUUGUUUCAAUCUCAUAAGUGGCAAAGGUAAAUCCUUUCCUCCUCUCCUUCUCACACAAGUCCAAAUUUUCCUUAAACAUGCCAAGGGUCUUGCUGCACUUUUGUUUAUUUUGUCAUACCUUGCCGUUUUUCUUCUUAGAAUAGCCCACCAAGUGGGUUUUUAUCACCUGGUUUGCUAUUUAAUCGUGUAUUAGAAAGAAAAAUUGAACAAUUGAUGUUGGGGUUGCAAGUUUCCUGGUUUCUUGAUAAGCUGCAUUCGUCCUUAUGCUCUACGGUUUCCUUUGCUGCAUUUUUGUCCUGUUGCUUUGAUUGGAUUUUCUGGAAUAGAUAAUGGUGCUUAGGUGAUGUUAACAAGGAUGGUUUGGAGUUUUCACAUUCGGUUUUGGUUGUUAAAUUGGUAAAUUUCGUUUGAGUUGUUUCACACUUCACAUCUAGGCAAAUAGCCAAAGGUUGCUGCAAUUUCAUACCAAUAAGAAAGCUGCAUUUUCAUUCUCAUGUUUUGCUGCUUUUCCCUGGUCCCGUAACAACUCCUAAAGUUGAUUUUCCUCAACUUGUUUUGCAUGGUUAAUCUUAUGUCCAUAAUAGUUGUAGAGAGAUUGAUGAGGCUUGGGUUUAGUUACAACUUUGGCCAUUUUUCUGGGUUGUUAACAAGCUGCAAAAUGGUGAAAACAAGAAAACUUUGAUUGACCGAAACCUUCAAUGCUCCAAGUUCAUCUUCUUUUGCUGAUUUCGUACCCAAUUCCCUGUUUGAUUCCCGGAGUUAAAUAAUGACAUUUGGAUGAUGUUAAUAACAUGGUUUUAAGGCCAUUGCAUGUGUGUUUGUUUUGGUUGGAUUUGUUCCAUAUCAAUGCGUUUGGAUUGAAACAAAAAACUGCAGCAAACAUGGCUUGUUCACCGUUGUAAAAAUGUUUCCCUCCAUCCCCUAGUUGAUUUUUCUGCAUAUUUUGCUCCAGAAUUUCUGUUUACAAACACUAGGUAAUUUGGUUGAUGUCUUGGCAAAUUAUGUUAGAGGACUUGGAUGGUUUUGAUUGUUAGACUCGCAAGUUACAAAGUUGCAGCAAUUCAUUUAUUUGUUUUGAUUGCAGAAGUUUUCUCACAUAGUUGCAUGAAGCUUGCAUGCAAAUGGCUUUCAAAAAUUACCCUUUAACCCCUCUAAUUCCCCUUUGUUUCACUAGGACCCAACCAAUUGAAUAAUCUCUUCAUUUUGGUCCUUGGCGGCUUUAAUUUUACAACUUCAUUGCUUGUUUGUUUCAAUUAAUUACUAUGCUUUGUUUCAAUUGCACUUAAGUCAUGACUUUAGGGGCUUUAUGAUCAAGUGAGCUUUGUUUUGCACAUUUCUUUUAAUUUUUCUUAAUUAAAUUGGUACCUUGACCAUUUCUUUUAUUUUUGAGGAUAAAUAAGUGACUUCACCCCAUUAGAGCUCCAUUUUAAGGGAGGUAUAAUUUCUUUUAUCCUUUUUUGUCUCUCCUAUGUGAUCCAACGUGCUAAGUGAGAAUUACAUGUCUAAUUUGCUUUUCUUGCCUUUCUUUAAGUCCUUUAUUUCAUUUACUCUUGUUUUU
RNAcentral lists this long non-coding RNA (45178 nucleotides) under Coffea arabica (coffee). RNAcentral describes it as "long non-coding RNA (CARA_LNC005941)". The record is from RNAcentral. Lineage: Eukaryota; Viridiplantae; Streptophyta; Magnoliopsida; Gentianales; Rubiaceae.